CAGGUCAGUCCAAGUGCUGUUUCUAUGAUGCGUUAUGAGAUUCUGGGUUUAGUAAAAGGUCUGACGGCUGCACCUAAGAGUGUGGCGUAACCUCAAUGAAGUGGGUGAAAAAUCAUGGAUGAACGGUGCUUAAAUUCCAGCAUAUAGACUAAACACACUAGGUAAUUUUUUCUCUAUGUACCUAAGCUUUGUGGCAAAAUUACUCGGUACUUGUGUUGGUAGGAGAUAGCAGGUACGGAAUCGUCAAGGUGUGCACAAGUUGAAUUAUUCUACUAACCUAAUUAUCAUUAAUAUAAAAGUUUAUGAUCUAACUAAAUUAUCGUUUCUAAUAUACCCAAUGUUUACUUAAUUUUGUAAGCUUUUCUUUUUAAUUAAUUCAUAUGAAUUAUUUCUUAGCGCAACAAUUACUUUGCACAUGGUGUUGGUUCUAAAUGCAUCGACAUUUGUUAUGUUGGUGUAUCUUUUCCGAUUUGCUCACUCCAUAUAACAUGGCACUAUUCUACAGCUUCUUCUAUGCGGGGGUCAACUGGGGUUUCAAAUGUUAAAGGUGUUGGAAAAAUAUUGGAUGAUUAUGGACAAUAAAAGAUUUAGCUUGAGGCGUGUCAAAGACACUGUCCUUAAGGAUAUUUCGCCCACACAUUGAUAAAUAAAAUUAGGCGUAUCCCUCAGGAUUCAACAAGCUCUUCCAGUUAUUAAACUGGGAACAGAACUAGCAAGAAACUCAAGAAAGAAACCUAGCAUAUAGAAGGAAUAAAGAAGAUGAUUCAGAAAGUUGUAUUAGAAAGUGUAUCUUUAGCUCUCCAAAGACCAUGUUUAUAUAGGUGUUGCUCCAACGGCUAGUUAAUGGCUAGAUAACGGCUAGUUUGACUCUAUUAAAUGUAAAAUAAUUUACUAAAUAAUAAGUAGAUGUAAAUAAUAUUUCAAAGAGAAAGAUUUUCCAAACCAUGAUGGACAUAACCUUUUGAGAUACCAUUAAUUUUCUAACAAUCCCCCACAUAUCUCAAAAGGUAAUAAAUAAAGAGAGAGAGAGAGAGAGUAUAAUUUGCUGUGUUUCAGGUAUAAUGAAAUUCAUCUGGUGUCUUAUAAACUAUGAACCAGAUAUAGAUAAAAUAAGAUUUAACUUACAGAGUAAUUGGUGAAGUUAAUAACUUCUAUGAACCAAAAACUCGUGUUGUAAUCUAGGGAUCUUAUUCAUCAUAUUACACCCCCACAAUUUCUGCUGUUAUGCGCGUGCCUGGUUUUCAUGAGUGUUCUAGAAAUUUUUGUCAUAGGAGCGACCCCACUCCACACUCAUAUAGGUCCAUCCAUCAAGUAUAUUAUGCAACACAAUACACUACCUACAAUAGACUAUGGAUUAUUGGAUUAAGAGUUUAAUAACUCAACCUCACAUUCCUUGAAGUCCUGCACUAUAUACAAACACACCAUAGGAAGAGACAUAAUUUAAUAGUGCAUAUUUGAACAACUAAUGACUUGUUAUUAUCAAUAUGAACCUACUUCAUGGGAUCUCCAAUCACAUAGGUUGAGUUACCAUCAUUGUUGAUACAUCUCAAAUUGGCAAAAGUCUCAACCCCUCGAUGUUUCACUUAUAAGUCAAAAGAUCGGCCAAAUCCUCUUUUGACUACACAUAAUAUGUAUAAAAAAUUAUCAUCUCUAAGCAAUUGCUAUAUCACAUUAUGUCUCUAGACAAUGUAUCUACUCGUCCCAUUGAAAGAUUUAUUUUCUUACAAUGGCUAUUGCGUCUUGGCAAUCACAAUUCAUCGACAUAAUUAUUGUCGGUUUAACUUACCAAGAGGUUACUUAAUCAACCUUACCUCUAAGCAAUUUUAAUACCACAACAGCCACCAAAAGGUGAUCACACAACAAUUAGCUAGUUUUUUUUUUCCAUCUGAAUCGAAGAUUCAAUAUCUUCACUGUAUUCUUCUAAUGCAUUGAAAAAUUCACAUAUAGAAUACUAACUCAUAGUAUUUCUUACAUAAGGCACAAAAUCAUCUCAGAUAAAAUGAAACUUUACUUCUAUACAAGUGCUUUUUGAAAUAUUUUUCAACACAUAACAACUUAUUUUCUUCUUAUAUCUUCCAUAGUCAAGUACCAAAGUAAAAUUUUCUAAAAAUGGAAGGAACUUUAAAUUCUACAAAAAUAUCUCAAAUAAGUAGAAAACAGGUCUUAAUUCAACCAUUUCUUUACCAAAUGACUAAUAGACCCAAAACAACAUAACUUUUCAGAGAUAGAAAUAUAACACAUUUUUGAUUUUCCAAUACAAAUUUUUUUUCCACAAAAAAUCUCAAUUUUGUAAGGCUUUAUUAUAACAUUAAUAAACAAUUUUUAUCACUUUUUUCUUUCUUAGGAUCAUGCUACAUAACUCUGGACAUCACGACCCCCCACAUUUUCGAAAAUUUCAGAUUAAGGAGAUAAUCUUUUCAGAACUCAUAAAGAGUUUUAUUUUAUAAAUAACAAGCAGAUAAUAUAGCUUCACCUCGAAAAUUAUCAUAUGGAUCAAUACACAUAUAAUUUAUUAAUUAAUUAAAAAGUCCCAAUAUCUUAAGUAAUAAAAGUAAGAUAAAUAUUUAAAUCUAGUACAUCAUCACAAGAAGAAUCAAACCAUUUAAUCUUAUGUGCUUUUCCAAUUCUCCUUCACCUAAAUCUCCAAUUACAUAAAUAUAAUUAACCCGUUCAAGAGAGAGAAAAUUUAUCUAGGAUUUUUUUUUUCGAAGCACGUUGUCUUGAUAAAGGUUUGAAUAAAAAUUGUUCAUGUGAUUUCAAAGAAAACGAAAGUACUUCAAUUAAAAAUUUGUCAAACUUGGCAUAGUAAGUUUCGUCAAUUUUUUCUACGGAAGAGAUUCGUUCAUUAACCCACUUUUUUCUAUUAGAUGAUUACCACUUUUCAAUGUAAUUCUUAAUUAACAAUAAGAAUCAAAAGUUUUUGAGAGCUUUUAGAGAAAAAAGAAUUUCUUAAGUAAAUAUAAUUUUGUACCCUGAUUGAAUUAUAUAACUAUACAAAAUCUACACUUACGUAAGCUUGGGCACAUUAAAUUCUAGAAAAAAGCAUACCUUAAUUUUGUUGUGCAUUAUGUCCUCCACGAUGCAACAAUGUAUAAAAUUGAAGCAGCAACUUGCGAAAAGCGUAUUCCAAAGUAGAACCAGGAAAAACGACAUACAAUACUCAUACAAUAAUAUUAUUUAUUCACAUCGUCUAGUACUGUCGGGAUUCUAGAAUUAAUGGAGAAUGCUUAUGUUUCUUUCGCGUUGGCCAGUUUGAUUAGCAUGUAACGGCCAUUAGAAUCGAUAUUCUCCAUAAAUACAAUGCCAUAAUAUCCUUAAGGUUGUUGGAAAAAUAUUGGAUGAUUAUGGAGAAAUUUUUUUUAGCUUGAGGCGUGUCAAAGACACUGAACUUAAGGAUAUUUCGCUCACACAGUGAUAAAUAAAAUUAGACGUAUCCUUCAGGAUUCAACAAGCUCUUCCAAUUAUUAAACUAGGAACAAAACUAGUAGAAAAUUCAAGAAAGAAACCCAGCAUAUAGAAGGAAUAAAGAAGAUCAUUCAGAAAGUUGUAUUAGAAAGUGUAUUUUUAGCUGUCCAAAGACCAUGUUUAUUUAGGUGUUGCUCCAACGGCUAGUUAAUGGCUAGAUAACGGCUAGUUUGACUCUAUUAAAUGUAAAAUAAUUUACUAAAUAAUAAGUAGAUGUAAAUAAUAUUUCAAAGAUAAAGAUUUUCCAAACCAUAAUGGACAUUAUAACCUUUUGAGAUACCACUAAUUUUCUAACAAAACGGAAUUGCGGCAAAUUGUGUGAUGGUGCCUCCAGUAUCCUUGGAGACAUAUUCAAAAGGCUAUAUAGAUUUAAUUCAUGUUUUUAGAUAAUGGAAAGGAAUUCUUAUUCACGAUGGGCUAAAGUCCGUAAUAGAGGUGCCAGAGUCAUGGCAGUUGACGAGUUCGGAUUAGACUUUUUUUGAGAAUGUCUCCUGGGAUAGUGGCGGGCCGUCGGCAGUGGAAGUUAGAACAAAUCAUGAACGUUCCACGAAAACUAGAACUUACAUAGGUUGACUUGGCUGAACUCAUUCUUUCUGUAACUAUCAUGGGCCAACAUGACCAGAACUCGUAAUGUAUAAUUAUAAAUGGGCAAAUACUGUACAACGAACAAUCGUACUCAAAAUAUGAAUAUACAUAGGACGUCAAUGCCUCUGACAUACUGUACAUAAUGAACUUGUGUAUACAAAGCCUCAAAGAGUAUUUGACAUCGAAAGAUGGCCGGGACACGGCCCAGCCUAUCCAUACGUCUGUAGCAAAACUCUGACACGAUAACUUAUAGACUCGGCUGCACUCCAAAUGAAGUGGAGCCUUACCGAUCCUUCGCUGAUGCUAACCUCGUCUAUUUUGAGGGUUCAUCAAAUUGAUUACCUACACCCGCAGGCAUGAAAGUAAACGUUAGUACGAAUAGUGUACCGAAUAUGUAAGGGGAACUGAAACAUAAUAAUAAACCAACAUCAAUGAGAGAGAUAUAAGAAUCAACGUGAACCUCUAAAGUGCCACAACGAGCCAUGAUAUUCAUACUAAUAUUUAAUGCCUCUCUUUGGGACUAUUACCCACAUCAUAACAUGACUUUCUAACUAAUCUAUGGUAACAGCCUGGCCGUCGUAGCUCCAUGGUGCAUAGCUACCCAACCGGCCGUAGCUCGGUAGUAAAUGCAUGACUACUCGAUCGAUAGUAACUCGGUGGUAAAUGCGUAACUGCUCAAUCGGUUGUAUCUCAGCUGUAAAUGCAUGAAGAGGCUUUUACGAUCAUUAGGACAUCUUUUAUCGUAUGCCUCAAUAGGGACUUAGGAACAUACUUGGACAUGCUUUGAAUUAUAUUUCACAGGAAUGAAUAACGUAGACAUUCUUAACUACUAAGGGUAGAACCAUUUAUGAAAUAACUUUACAUUUACGUUUUGUUACCUGGAUCAUGCCAAAAGAAGGAAGGAUUAGCCUUAACAUGCCUUUGUAGGUAACGACUCAAUAUACAUUGCCCGUAGUACUUCAACCUACAUCAAGGUAUUAGAACUAUAGUUAAUACCAUAGUAGAACUUAAAACACAUUUCUAAGCUAGUAGCUCUUUUACGGAGAAUUGGGAAACACUCCCCCUAUAUUUCCUCAUUUUCUCGAAUUCAAAACCGAAACAAACAACAACAUCAACAACUAAUCCUAUCUAUUCUGCCCCUCAACAACGUAAGAACAAUUCUAACUUCAAACAAUAGUACAACGAGUGGCAAGCUCGAUUUGUGACUAAACCAUUAUAGUUUAAUACCUCUUCUCCCUUCCAGAAUUUAUCAACCACAUUAACCGCCACAUAUUCAAUCAUUCCUACAAAUUUUUAGUCACAAUACAACUUUAAAAUGACCCUAUAAUAGUCCCACAAGUUCAACAACUUAAAAUUAAUUUUUCAGAUUACUAAAAUACGUUUCCGACUUGUCCUUUCAUUCAAAUCAAGAAACGCAACCAAUAGUACAUAAUUAAACCUCUUCUCAUAUAAACCAGACAUGAACUCAACUUAAAAAUAAGUUCACAACCAUCCAAUAGUGAUGCAACAACAAACAUCAUAUUACUCUUUCGAAACUCGAAAGUUCUAGUCUUUCCGAUCGAGUUACAACUCGUAGAAGCUUAAGUAAGGGAAAGAGAAGUAUAAACUUACCUUGGACUGAGUAGAUCCCAUGAAACUUAGUCUCUCGUCAUCCAAAAUCAGUCCCCCAAUGCAGCUACAAGAAGGAGAAAGGGAAACUAGCAAGCUGUCUGGGUUUUUUCGGUACUAGAAUCACUUCGUAUCACCCGAAUCACCUAGGGUUUAUGUGGGAUUUUUGGGGGAGGUGUAGCAGGGUUUUUUACCCUAGGUUUUCCUCAGGAUAUUAUGUCUAAAAUAUGAGAGAAUAAUCCCGUAUAAAGGGCCCCUUGGCUGCCCUCAAUCCACCCCUUUUUGGAGAUUUAUUUUGUCCCUUCAUUUAAGCAAGUAGGUGAUGCACCUACUUAUCACAUACCAGUCUGCAUAGUCUCGCUAAAAUGUAAAUAUCUCUCUACUCCGAUGUCGUAUUGAAAAACGCUUUAAUGUACUGGAAACUAGACUCAUAGGCCUUCAAUUUUGUGGGUGGGUGUCCCUGUAACUCCAAGUAUAUUAGGAGAAAAACUUAUUGAUAUUAGACCUAAAAUUUAGUAUAAUUUAUGAAUGUAACUUGUGACGACUUUCGUCAACUUUUGUUUCAUAACUCUCUUAACUUCAAAACUUAACACACGACUAUCAUAUGACUAAAAUACCUCAUAACAUCACCUUCUUAUCAUGUUAAUCACCCUAGUCGCAUCUCAAAGUAUGGAUUAUAACAUUUCCAACUUUUGAUGAAACUUAUUUUCUAUGAUUCGUUUAGCUUCUAAACCUUCCAACCCUCUGGUACUUGCUGAUCAUGAUCUUAAAUAUUUGAAGCCUCCAAGGUAACAUUAUUAACUUACUUUAUAUACUUUCAAAUAGGAUCUUAUUUUCGAGCUUACAUCAAUUGACUUACGAUAUACUUUACGUACAAAAACAUGGGGUGUAACAUUAUUCCCCGUUUGGAACAUUCGUCCUCAAAUGUUGGCUGAUGCUCUUAUCAGUCUCAUAACCUACAUCUCUUAUGAAUACUUUAAUACUGUCCUUGCCAUCUAGGCAGCUGUUCUGUGAAUUAAUCCAAAGGGGGGCAUUCCCCCCUUUAGGCCUCUUUCUCACACCACAACCUGUGGUCGUAAUUCUUCCAAUCUCGUAACUAUUGCUACCUUCUGUCAUACAUCAUGUAUGACCAUAUCCUUGUACGCACGCCUACGUGAUACUUAUCUCCCUUUUCUCUAUCUUUUAGCCAAUUUCUAGGCCUCACUUUGCAAAUAUAUACAAAAUGAUGAAAAAUUGUUCCUUUGGGCAUCAGUUGGCGUACUGAAAUUCUUUGUUUGGUGCUUCGUUGAACUUACGACUAUUUCUAUAUUCUGUUUCAUAGCCUCAGAACUUUUAUCCAUCGAUGUGUUGAUUCACCUUAAUGUUGAUCUAUAAUCCACUAGUGAUAACUUGAAACUUCUUAAUACAUUUUCACUAGGGGUCACAUCUUGUCGGCUAACAUCUGAAGUUAUUUGCUUGAUCCACCUUACGGACGAUACUAUACUUUAAUAAUCGUAUUUCAUAGUAUCUCAACAUGAUUCAUCUUAUGGUAAGUAUUCUAAUCCCGUUCAAUUCAUAAAAUCCGUUCUCAUUGAAUCAUUACUUCAAUCGAAGGCUAUAUUCCCAAACAUUAUCCUCUUAUCGCUUAUCACACUCACACUCUUAUUCUACUACGAGGGUAGCAUUUCAUCUCUUCUAAAUGCUCCUAGUCUUAAACUCCUUCGAGUUCAUUCAAGCUAUACUGAGCUUUCUAUAACCUACAGAAACCAUCAACUCUCUCAUUUUGAUGGCCAAAUCCCGAUGUCUUACCUAUUCUCGUCACCUUCUCACUUACUUUUUCUUAUCCUUACUCAUGUCUACCUAAAACCUUGUCGCUCUAUUAUACUCUAGCUUGCAACCUACACGUAUCUAUACAUACUACUCGCAACCUCAUUUAACUUGCUAGCACCAUAUAUUUCUUUAUGUUAUUUUGGAACCUCAAGCGAGACAUCACGUUUCCUCUAAUUCUUCUUUGUUCUCGUUACUAGACCUCUUGGUACAUGGAAAGCAUAGGCUGGAAAAUGUGCUACUGACGACACCACUAUCAUUUCUGAAUACUGAAUCAUGAUGCUUCUAGCCUUAUAUCUAAAGUAUGGACUAUUUACAAUCUUCUGUACUUGAGUAUCUCGUACCGUCUUCACUUUUACCUUACUUACCUUUAAAUCUCGCAUCAUAUCUUAUGUUGCUUUCAUAACUUCCCUUCCACAUAGUUGGAAUUUACAUCCAUGCAUUAAAGCUCUACUGUAAUACUUGCACCUGUGGUGCAUACAUAAUCCACUAGAAGCUUCAUACUAACUUCUUAUGACUUAGCUCUAUGGCACGAUAAGAAAGUGAAAGAAGGGUAACAUUUCCUAAAUGCCCUGUAGCCUCUCAAUUAUAAGUGUGGCGCGCAACAUACCCAUAAGUGAGAAUCUACUAGACACGGCUUUGUAGACUCCCUAAGAUACGACCUGCUCUGAUACCACUUUGUCACGUCCCAACCUGAGGAGGCAUGGCUGGCACUCGGUGUCGUACAGGCUCGAGGGAACCAUUUUGUAACUCAUGAUCGUUCGACAAAAACUAGAACAUACAUAAGCCGACUUGGCUGAACUCAUUCUUUCUGUAACUAUCAUGGGACAACAUGGCAACAACUCAUAAUGUAUAAUUGUAAGUGGGCAAAUGCUGUACAACGAACCAUCAUACUCAAAACAUUAAUACACACGAGACGUCAAGGCCUCUGACAUAUAGUACAUAAUGAACUUGUGUCUACAAAGUCUCAAAGAAUAGUUGACAUCGAAAGAUGGUCGGGACAGGGCUCCAGCCUACCCAUAAGUCUGUAGCAAAACUCUAACACGAUGACUUAUAGACUCGGCUGCACUCCGAAUGAAGUGAAGUCUUAAUGAACCUUCGUUGAAUGCUAACCUCAUAUAUUAUGAGUGCUCAUCAAACUGAUUACCUACACAUGCAAGCAUGAAAUAGCGUCCACAAUAUAAAGAACGUUAGUACGAAUAGUGUAACGAGUAUGUAAGGUAGAUCUGAAACAUAACAAUAAGCCAACAUCAAAUAGAGAGAUAUAAAAAUCAACUUGAACCUCUAAAGUGCCACUACGGGCCAUGAUAUGCAUAUUAGUUAUACUUGUAUAUUUAAUGCCAUUUUUGGGACUAUUUUCCAUAUCAUAACAUGACUACACAACUGAUCAACGGUAACUGCCCGUCCGGCCGUAGCACGGCAGAAAAUGCAUGACUGACCGAUCGGCCAUAUCUCGGUGGUUAAUGCAUAACUGCCCAACCGGCCGUAGCUUAGUGAUAAAUGCAUGACUGCUUGACCGACCGUAGCUCGGUGGUAAAUGUGUAACUGCCCAAUUGGUCAUAGCUCGAUGGUAAAUGCAUGAAGAGCCUUUUACGAUCAUUAGGACACCGUUAUUGUAUACCUAAAUAAGGACUUAGGAAUAUACUUGGACAUGAUUUGAAUUGUAUUUCACAGGAUUGAAUAACGUAGACAUCCUUAACUACUAAGAGUAGAACUAUUUAUGAAAUAACUUACAUUUAAGUUUUGUUACCUGGAUCAUGCAAAAAGAAGGAACGAUUAGUCUUAACAUACCUUUGUUGGUAACAACUCAAUAUACACUGUCCGUAGUACUUCAACCUACAUCAAGGUAUUAGAACUAUAGUUAAUACCAUGAAAGAACUUAAAACAGAUUUCUAAGCUAGUAGCUCUUUUACGGAGAAUUGGGAAGCACUUCCCUUAUAUUUCCUCACUUCCUCUAAUUCAAAACAGCAACAAACAACAACAUCAACAAUAUCAAAAAUUAAUUCUAUCCAUUUAGCUCCUCAACAACGUAAGAACAAUUCACAAUUCAAACAAUAGUACCACAAGCGUCAAGCUCGGUUUGUAACUAAACCACUAUAGUUUAAAACCUCUUCUCCCUUUCAGAAUUUAUCAACAACAUUAACCGCCACAUAUUUAAUCAUCCCUGCUAAUUUUUAGCCACAAUACAACUUUAAAAUGACCCCAUAAUAGUCCCACAAUUUCAGCAACUCAAAUUAAUUUUUCGGACUACUAAAAUACGUUUCUGACUUGUCUUUUCUUUCAAAUCGAGCAACACAACCAACAAUGCAUAAUUAAGCCUCUUAUCACAUACACCAGCCAUGAACUCGAUUUAAAAAUAAGUUUACAACCAGCCAACAGUGACGCAACAACAAACAGUAUACUACUCUUUCGAAACUCGCAAGUUCUAGUCUUUACAAUCGAGUUACAACUCGCAGAAGCUUAGAUAAGGUAUAACAAGCCAACCGGCCAUUUUUAGCUCUAGUACGCCAUUCAGAGAUUUAAGACCUUGAGUAGAUUCAAUUUAUGUAUUAUGACUUAUGUGCAUACUCGAUUUUUAUUUUUUAGAAGUUCGGAGUAGAUUUGGAAGAACAAUUUUUAAUUCGGAAGCCUUAAGUUAGAAGAGUUGACUGAGGUUUUACUUUUGAGUAAACAACCUUAAAAUUGGGAUUUGAAAGUUCCUAUAGGUUUGUAAGGUGAUUACGUACUUGGGUGUAUGUUUGGAUUGAGUUUCGGGUGGACCGGGAGAGUUUCGACGCUUAUUGUGGAAAGUUGACAUUUUGAAGAUUUAGAAUUUUCUAAGUUUGAUUUGAAAAGGAAAUUGGUGUUAUCGAUGUCCGUUUGGGAUUUUGAGUCGUGGAAUAGGUUUGUAUUGUAAUUUGUAACUUGUAUGUAAAAUUUAGCGUCAUCCAGGAAUGUUUAAGAGUGAUUUGGAAAUUUAAGUUGCAUACUAGUUAAGUAUAAGAAAAUAAGUUGACCACGGUCAAAUAGUGGACUUAACGAGAUCAGAUUCAUGAUUUAAAGUUUUAACAGGUUUAUAUGAUGAUUUUGGACUUGUCCGCAAGUUUUGGUUAGAUUCCGAUGAGUUUCGGAUGGGUUUGGAUUGUGCCGCGCUCUUAUUUGAUUAUUCGAUGCCGUUUCUUUUGUCAUAAAGGGUACCAUAUUGAGAAAAUGACCUUUUAUCUGUUAUUUGAUUGAACCAUUAUAUCUGUAUCAUAAUCACAAAAUUAUAGCAAGAAGAAUCGUCGAAUUUCAAGGUCAUACGAGAGAUUUAUGCUCAUUUCCGUGUCAGAAAAGAUUGCUGGUUUCUGGUGCGAGCUUUUGUUCUUCGCAAGCGCGAGAGCAGUGCAACGAACACAUAGAAGGAAUUCUGGGUGGACCGUUCAACGCGAAAAAUUACUUUUUGCGAACGCGAAGGUCUCCCGUUAAGGCAUUGAACAAAAAUCACCUAGGUAGUUUUUUAAAUUAGCAAAUCGAGCAUUUUAGUAUUUCGAGCAUAUCUUGAGUUCUAGAGCUCUGUUUGAGGUAUUUUUCGUGGCGUAGUUCUCAUUUCAACAAGGGGUAACUAUAUAAGCUUUAUUUCAAUGUUUGUGCAUGAUUAUUUCCGUUGAUUAUCUUUUUUAUCCUUGUUUGGAUUGUAGAAAUUGGGGUUUUGAGCUCCAAAGUUGAGAAAUGGUAAAUUCUUGAUUUGAGGGUCAAUUUAUGGAUCAAAUUGGAUAAUUUUCUGAAUAUAGACUAUAUAAUUUAUGGGUAAUAUGUAUUUUCGAUAAUUUCAGAAUUAAGGUGCGAGCCUGGGGUUGACUUUUUUUUUAAAACUUUUUGUGUGGCAUUGAGAAUUGUUUCUAAAUGAAAUAUUAUGUAUUCUUGAGUAUGAUUUGAUUGGUUUGCACGUUCUUUGAAUAGUUUCAGAUAGUUUGGCUUUGGGUUUGAGGUGUUAGAGAGGCGUUGGAGAUAGUUAUUGGAUUUCGGAACGAGGUAAGUCUCUUGUCUAACCUUGUAAGGGAAAAAUUACCCCAUAGGUGUUAUAAUUGUUAUGUGCUACAUGUUGUGAGAGCUACGCACGUAUGAAGUGACGAGUGUCCAUGCACAUGCUAGAAAUCCUGAUUAGGUCCUGUAGACUUAGACUCACUCCAUGCUUUAAUUGUAAUAUUUGAGUUAUUCUUGCCUAUUUAAAUGCUUUAAUUACAUUGUUGCUUGAGACUAGACUUGCGUAGAGUAUCAGACUUGUUAUUUUAGAUACUUGGCAAAUUACUUGAUUAAUAGAGGAAAUUAUACUUUCCUUCUACGAAUUUCUCUCGCAUUGUACGAAAUUGUCUGAAGAGUCUCUUAAACUGCAUAACUUACACAUAUAUUCGUGAGUGGUGCUAGUGAUCCAUCAAGUUUCACUAUUCCUAUAGGAUCGGGCUGAAUGCCUCAGUAGUACUAUUAUAGAUCGGGCCGUACGACCUCGACAGUAUUAUGAGAUGCAUCUAUGGUUCGUUCUGGUCGACCCUCAGCAGUGUACACGAUUAUAGGAUCGGACUGAAUGACCUCAAGGGUACUAUUAUGGGAUCGGACCGUGCGCCACGAUAGGAAAUCAUGCAUUUCCUCGGUAGAAUCGUGAGUGAUAUUUGAUAAGAAGUCAGUGUACCCAUGGGUUUUCCUAACUUGAGAUGUGACAUUUUAUCUGGUAUUGACCAUUACGUAUUUUAUUCGAGGUAUUGUCCAGCUAUUGAGGACCUCGUGUUUUUUCUUCUGUUGAGUAUCAUAUUAUGCACUUAUAUAUUCCUCGUUUUUACCUGCUAUCCCUCAUAUCUGUUUACUUUCAUUAUACCUAAUUUAUUGGAUUACUAGUAAGUGUCGAUGUCGACCCCUCAUCACUACUUCUUUGGGAUUGGGCUAGAUACUUAUUAGGUAUGUGUUGAUUUACGUACUCAUGCUGCACUUCUGCACUAAUUGUGCAGGCACUAAGGCAGGUUCAUUUGGUGGUCAUCUUAGUGCAUAUGCGCAGCUGCCGAGGGGACUUUAUGGUGAGCUGCUUUCUAUGUUAGUGCAUAUGCGUAGCACACAGAGUCUCCAUCAUACUCAUUUAAUUUAUCUUGUCUAUUAUAUAUUCCCGAUAGACGUUAUAUUAGUAUUGUACUUCCUAAUGGAUGCUCAUGCACUUGUGACACCAGAUUUGGGAAUUUAGUUUAUGUUCUUGGUUUAUAUUUUGACCACAUUCGAAUAGUUAAAUUAAUAACAUCAGCACUUAUGAAAAUGAACUACUUCAGUUAUUUAUUUCGAGAUGCAUGUAGAUUAUCUAUUAGUACUUAUUUCAUGGCUGACUUGCCUAAUGAUAGAGUUAGGCACCAUCACAACCUAUAGUGGGAUUUGGGUCGUGAUAGUUUGAUAUCAGAGCGCUAGGUUUACUUGGGUCUCAUGAGUCAUGAGCAAGUCUAGUAAAGUUUUGCAGAUCGGUACAGAUACGUCUGUACUUAUCUUCGAGAGGCUACAUGACUGUUAGGAGAACUUCCCUUUCUUGAUUCCUUAUCGUGAGAUUUGAUUUAGUUGAGUCCUAUGCCUUCAAUUCCUUCUACUCAUUCGUACGCGAUGUCAAGCAUUCGGUAUCAAUUAGGCACCGACGAGUCGUAAAGCAACUACAAAUGUGGUGCAGGAUGUUUUUCCUUGCGUAUGUGGGUAGACUAUUAUCGUCGCCUUAUAGAGGGGUGUUCUAUCGUUUCAGCCCAGUGUUAGUGUUUCCUAUGGUUCCGAGGCUAUAUACUAUGUAUUGUACUGUUCAUGCAUUGUUAUCGCGUAGUGCUGGUGUAAAUAGUAGGGUUUUUACUUAUGUGUCGCGGCAGUGAAUGACUCGAGAGGAGGAUUAUUCGAUUCAUGGUUUAGAGAUUCAACAUUUAAUUCCAGCGAAGGAGAGGCAAUUGGACUAUGGAUAUUCAGGCUUUGGUUGACGGAGUAGCGAGAUUGGAUAUUUUGAAAAUGGUAGAAUUCUUGUUUGUGAUAUGGUGUCAUCGUCCUUGUUUGAACACAUUAAGGCUCAUCGGUAUGAUAGUCUUCAUUGGUUUGCCUUCGGGGUAAGGUGCUGUGAAAUGGUACCUAAGAAGCGGUUAUCAUAGAUGGCGGUGUGUGGCGGCUUCAGGGUCAAAUCGGUGUUUCUAGUGUUGAUGGAUUGAGGAAGAUAAUCUUAAGGAGGCUUAAAGUUGAUGGCAAUCUAUUUGUUCAGGUGCUAUGGAGAUGGAUCAUGAUUUGGAGCAGCAUGACUGGCAGUGAAUUAUGAGAAGAGACAUGGUAGGAUAUGUCUCGAAGUGGAUGGAUUGCUGGCAUGUCAAGUACGAGCAACAAAGAUCGAGUAGUUUUCUUAGGAAGAUGGUUUAACCGGAGUAGUAGUGGUAGUGUAUCGUAUUAAAUUUUGUGGUAGGAUAGCCACAUGCUCUGAGAAAGCCUAGGGCGAUUUGAGACAUGGUGGACAAAUGACCAAGUACGUGUAUUUCGUUUGAGGUGGUGGUUUCUGUACUUAGGAUGCUUGAACGUGACGAAAAGAGUUGCUAAGGAUGCAGAGGAAUGUGACUUAAUCAUUUGGGAUGCAAUAUAGCUUCGAGUUGUAAAUGUAUUGUUGGAACUUCAAUUAAUGUUAAUUUGAUGAACGAAUUCUUACAAAUGAUGGAUGAGUGUGGACUUAGGAGAAUUAACUGAUUUCAUAACGGAAUGGCUAUGGCUAUGCCAUUGGAGGAUGUCGGUAUGGGGUUACACAUGUGAGCUAUCUCCUGUGAGAAGGUUAGGGGUUGCAUGACUUCUGAUGACAUUCCUAUAAAGAGUUCUACCUUCUAUCCAAUAGGAUGCAUAUACUACGAUAUGAGCUUGGAUUGCUUGAAGAAGAUGGUAUGAUUGUCAGGAGGUCGAGUGUGCCAAUGUGGUUGAUGAUUCGGGAUGUGUAAUGAUUAGUGCAACAAGAACUUAUGAGAAAUCUGGAUGCGUAACAGUGUGAGAUCAUGCUAGCUAGGAGGAGAAGUCAUUGUAGGUCCUUGGAUUUUGCGAUGGUGGCUUAAAGCCAAAUGGGGGAGCCUACCGUUGAUGAUUGGGUCAAGUGGUUAUGUUCCCUUACAGUUUCUGGUUAGCGGUACAUUGACAGAUUAGUUAUGACCGAGGAAGAGAACAUCACGGGUAAUUCGAGCAAGGAAUUUGAUGGAUGUGUGCUAUAGUUCACCUUAUUGAUGUGUGACGGUUAUGGAAUAAUCAAAUUGGGUAUUUCUUUAUGGAGGUGUUGUGCAUGGAAAAGGAUUCAUUCGGUUGCUCCUUUGGAGUAUUUGAGUGCUAACGGAGCACUAGUUGUUUAGUUAUAUAAUCGUGACUGGUUUACAGUGAGCGACUCUCAACAAUGGUUCUAGUAAGUUCAAGAAUUAAAGUGUAGUGCCUAAGGAUUUUUGAAUUCGUUGUGUGGCUAAGGAUUUUGUUUUGCAGCGGAGUGUGCAUGAGACUUGGAGAAUUUCUAUGAAUUCCACCAGGUAUGUGGUGCGGUGUUAGAGAGAUGGAAGAAACAACUUCAGAUUCGCAAAAGAUCUUUCAGAACAGGGGUAUCAGUUGGAGAUACUAUUGAGUGGUCGAGGUGAGUAUAAAGUUACAUAUGGGUAAUGCGGCAAUGUGGUCUUGUAGUUAGGGUCACUUGGGAUGAGUGUCGAUUGAGGUCUAUCGUUUUCUGGAAAAGAGAGGUACUCAUUCUGAAGGUAAGUCAAGAGAGAACUGAGGAGCUGAACUAGUUUAGAAAUAGUUUUGAUCGACAUAGUAAAGGAAAUGGUCGAUUAAUUCAGUAUGAUAAGGCUAUACGGGUGUUUCGUGGCUAUACUAGCAGGCUUGGUAGUCUCCGUAAUUUGGUUGAUUUGGAGGAAUUUAAUCCUGAUGGUUUGGGUGUGUGCAAACGGGUCUCGAAAAGGCUAUGAUGAUUUUGACCAUGAUUUGAGAUUGGUGUGUUCUAUGGUUAUGGGAAGUUGGUUGCAUGCUAUGAUUCCUUCUCCUAAAAUGAGUUAGGCGAAAGGUUCAAGACGAUGGAGUGUUUAUUCCCCCGAUGGUUCUGUAUUUAUGAUGGGAUUUUGCACUCUCGCAUGUUAGCAUGAUAGGUGCAGUGAGUGGUGUGGAAUUUGAAUUGAAGGAUCAAGGUUGCUAUUUAGUUUUGACUGGGAUGUCACGAGCUCAAAGGAGCGAGGGAAGAUUUUAGAUGUUCAAAGUAUGCUGGCACUAUUUUCGGGCCACUGAGGAUGGUCAGUUUUGUGGAAGAAGUAUUGGGUAUUGAUUUGUGGAUGCUUGACUAGCACUAUAGAAAUAGCAUGGUCGGUGGCCAUUAAUGUUCAUAUUUUUCUACCUGGUGCGGAAGGUUGUGGGAUUAUCUCCCAUGAGAUGAUCGUAUAAGUGUGACAUGUCAUUCAUUUAAGUGGUAGAGAAUGAAAUCAGGUAUGAAGAUUCCAGUACAGAGCUAGUUGGAGAGUUUAUGUUGCGAGAUGCUCUAUUCCUUUGGUUGCGGACUGUAGAAGUUUGUUCUUGAUUUGAUGAUCGAUCGUAUGUAUCAUGGAUAUGGUGAUUGUGGAUCUUUGAAAGGUUAUUAACCUAUUUUGGGUGAUCGGAAUCGGCUUUGAUGUCCGUUGGUAGACCGAAUGUGAAUGUAUAUUCUACACUAGAUCAGAUAUGCUUAUUCAGUAUAGCAUUGUUUAUGGAUGAGUCUUCGGGUGUUGGAUGUUAUUCUUAUCAUCUAUUCCAUGUAUUACUCUAUUAUGCCAUAUGAGUGGUGAGACGACUUGAUUAUACAUUGUAAUCCUGUGUAGUUUGUGGCAUUAUAUGAGCGAGAUGGCUCUCGAGAUACUUGUUUGUCUAUUGCACCUUAGUCAUAUUUGGGCUGUUGUGGUGCAUGAUGCUAUCCGUCUCCCUAGGGUUAUGUUUAUGCACUUGGCGUGCUUAUGGUCGAUAUGCAUGCGUCUAAUGGGUAUGAGCAUUUUGGCUCGAUGAGUAUUCCCUUAGUGAUGGUUAUUUUUGCACUUGUAUUGACAGCUCUAACCAUAUGCUUUAUUUUCUUAUCUCUGUUUAGACUUAAUUAUUGUUUUACAAUGUUCAAAUUGUGGUUUAUGUUUGUUGGUUCACCUAGUGGAUCAAUUUAAGUGCCAUCACGACCUUGGUAGAAUUUUAGGUUGUGACAAAAUGGUAUCAGAGCCUAGGUUUCACGUGUCUUGUGAGUCAUGAGCAAUGUCUAGUUGAGUCUUGCUCAUCGACAUGGAGACGUUUAUACCUGUCUUCGAGAGGCUACAUGAAAAUUAGGAAACUUGUCUUUCUUUCUCUCUUCAUUGUGUAUCUUUUGUUCGUCUUGAAGUCCAAAUCUUUCUCUUUCGUUAUGUCAUGGCCCAAAAUCCCACCAAUAUCGUGAUGACACCUAACCUAACUCACUAGGUAAGCCAAACUGUAUAAGUUACUACUAUAAUGAGAAAUCAUCAAUAUAAAAAAUAAGACUACAAAAGAAUUUAAUACAACUACCCAAAGGACUGGUAGCACAAGUCAUGAGCCACUAUGUUUUAGAUUUACAAAGCUGGUGAAAUGAAUAAAUACAACAUAUGUUUGCAAGUUACAUUAACAAAAAUAAAAUCCUAAGCUAUCAUGAGCAAAAUGGUAGCCUGAAUUCGGUACGUUGUCUAAUGCAAAGUUCCGUCUUCACAGCUACUCAGCUCCAAAAUUAGUAGGCAAGGUGCAGAAGUGUAGUAUGAGUACAACCGACCCCCUGUACUUGAUAAGUAUCUUGACUAACCUAAGAGCAGUACUGACGGGGUUAUUAAGUGGAAAGAUACUCACUAAUCAAAUAACCACUGCAAUAUAUCAAAGACUGGCAAUAGGAAGAAUAGCAGAAAAGCAAUAACUAUAAUCUCAUCAGAACAAGUGAUCACAAUUCAAUGCAAGUAAAGGCGCACCUUCAACAACAAGUCAUCAAACAGAAUCACACACAUAUGGAACUUCGUGACCACAUUAUCAAUCACCCUCGCAUGGCAAAGACCUCAUACCAUAUUAUAAAUCGAUUCUAUGUCAAUUUCCAAACAACACGUUCAAGGUAAGUUUUCAAGAAUCAAAUAUUUUAAUCCAUGAUGGCAACUUCCUCAUCUCGUCAAUCCGAUAUACUACCAACAACUCAACAAAAUAUGAGAUAUCAAAUCCACAUAGGUAAAUCCAUCUUGGUCACCAAAUCAUCAAGUAAUAACAGAGGCAUAACUUAGCAUGUUAAAUACAACACAACAAAACAUGUAAAAAGAUAUGACACGCAAAAGGAAACCACACACAUAUUCAAUGACCACAUAAACAUAUAUAAUAAAAAUUGCCCCCAGGCCAUCACAUAACAUCCCUACAAUGCCACAUGUGCAUCACAAUGAAAUGCCUCCCGUAUGUCGUUGCAUGCUCAUAAGACACCCUAAUCUCGCCGCAUGCGCAUCACAAUGAAAUACCUCCCUUAUGUCGUUGCAUGCGUAUCUCGCCACCCUUAUUAUCCACACAACAUCAAUCAACUCACACAAUAUGUCCACAUAUGCCAUAAGUAUCAUAAUAAUGCAAGAUAACAAUUUAUCAUCAAGAGGCAUAUCUUGAUAACCCAUCAAUAAAGCACACACGUACUUGAUAACAAUAAAAAUAUGGAUAACGCAUGACAAUUUCUAAAUCAACUAUAGAAAUCACAUUCAAGUAGUCGUACAAAGGAUCCCAUAUGUAUCACAGAGAGUCCACGUCCCAAUCAAGGAACAUAACAGAAAUAAGUUCGAAUGUGUGUUCAUAAUCUACGUGCAUCUAUCUCCAAGGAAAAUAUAACAUAAGUCUCCAGAUUUGCUCAUCAUGUUCAACAUAAGGUACCAAUGGCCUCAGCAUUCCUCUAGCAUGGUUUAUUGUACACUCGUAGUCCAUUAAUUAAAUAAUAUAUGGAAUCAGGUAAAACACACAACCAAAUAAGAUAUAGAUAAGCUAGAAUCUACCCCGAACAUUAAUACCCAUGACACAUGUGUAUACACUCGUCACCUCAUAUAUACAUCACCCCCGCAUGUAGAAAACAAUAUCAAUUAGAAGGAAAAAUUACCUCAACCAAAGCUAGGCAAGACACUUACCUCAAACAAGCAAAAAUAAUACUCAAAAAAUGCCAUCCCGCGCAAAUCAACCUCUGAAUAACUUGAAUAUAGCCAAAAACAAUUCACAACAUCAAAUAAUGCUAUUCGAAUCAAACCCAAACGAUAAAGGUCGAAUUUUUAAUCAAAUACUCAAAGUCAACCAAAUAGUAAACACAGAUCCGCACACCAAAAUCUGGCAAAACUGACAAAUCUUAAACACAUAUUCGAAUACGAGUCCAAAUAUACAAGUUUUAUCUAAAACCGACUCAAAAUCGGGAUUCAAAUCUCCAUUUUAGUUUUGCCAAAACCCCCCUAUUUUUCUUCACUUAAAUUCAUCAAUCAAAGCUAAAAUCAAGGAUAGAAUCAUGAAUAAUACUCAAAUCCGAGUCGAGAAUACUUACCCCAAUCCAAGUGGUAAAAAUCCCCUCAAAAAUCACCCAAAUCCGAGUUUCCAAUCUCAAAAUGUGAUAAAAUAAGCUCAAAGUUCAAAAAUGACACUGACGAGUUAUAUAUAUCAUGAUAGCAGAAUACCCUUUGUGAUCGGAAAGAACAAAGUGACACUGCCUAGAAUAAUGCACCAUGCGAUCCUGUCUAAUCCCCAUGAUCGCAAAAGCCAACAAUUGGAUGCUGAAGAACAAAGUGACACUGCCUAAAAUCACGCCCACAGAAGUGCAAACACGAGACCCUCACACAAAUGUAGAAUCCAAUGAGCCAACUGCCUCCAGUAACACUCUGCAAUUGCAAAGUGACGAGUGCGAAUGCGUUAACCAGCUCCACCACCUUAUGUGAACAUGAUGCAUAAUUUGCUAGCUGCCCAACAAUCUUUGACAAGAUCGCGUAACUACACCCGUGAUCGCGUAACACAUCAAAUGCACCAGAAACCAACACUGUGCAACACCUCCAAAAUGGUCCAAAACCACUCCGAAUUACACUCUAGGCCCUCAGAACCCAUUCAAACAUACCAACAAGUCCAAAUACAUUAUCCAAAAUCUUGAAACAACGUAAAUAACAUUAAAACCAAGCAUCGAUGAUCAAGAUCAUUCUCUUAGCUUUCAAACUUCAAGCUUCGUUGAACGCGUCUGAAUCCUACUAAAUCAACUUGGAAUUAAACCAAACAUUUCACAUAAGUUUCAAAUGACAAAACAAAACUAUUCCAACUUCCGAAACAACAAUCUGAAUCUGAUAUCAUGAAAGCCAACUCGCGGUUAAACCUAUGAACUUCUAAACCUUCAAAUUGCUAACGUUUACCAAAUAGAGCCAACACAACCCAGGAUUCUCCAAAUAGCAAUCUGAACAUACACCUAAGUCUAAAAUUGCCACACGAACCUAUUGAAAUCAUCAAACACAAAUCUGAGACCGUUCAUAUAAGAAGUCAAAACUUGGUCAACUCUUUAGCGUAAAGCUUCCAGAUAGAGAAGUACUCUUGCGAAUCACUCCCGAACUUCUUGAAAAAUUAAAACCAACCAUAAACGCUAGUCGAAAUACAUCAAAUGAAGCCACUCGAAGUUUUAAACCACAUAACAAAAUGCCAAUUCUCAAAACGAUCGAUCAGGUCAUUAAAUUCUUCCCCAUUUAAAUAUAUGUUCAUCCUCAAAUGUGCCAAGAGUCGUCCCAAAGCCAUUAAAUCACCCUACAAACUCACUAUACACAUACCCAUGGGUGAUCCCAUGCCACCUAAAUACAUAUAAACAUGUCAACUCAACCUGACUGAAGAUUUUUUCUUCAACCUUAGUCCAUAAAACUUAGAAUCCAAUCUCCAACAUCUGAAAUUCCUUAUAAGACCCAAUUCUCGCAUCUAUUCUCUGUAUAAGUCUAACCAAGCUGCAUCAAGCCAUGACCAUAUUCCAAGAUAUAAUCACACGAUAUACCACAUAGCUUAUGUACUCAUAGUAAUAUCUUUCGACCACAUAGUUGCUCAUUACUAAACCUGGUACCGGUAAUAUAACCCAUAUCAAAUAAAACCUUGUCCUAACCUUCAAAACACUACUAAUGAUGUAAUAAACAAGUAGAAACUCAUAACGACACACCCAAUCAACAAGUCGUGGAGUUCUCUCGCUCGACAAAAAUCAUUGCCAAAUUCUAAGCUGACAAAUGACAUUUUUAUCCAAACAUACCUUAUCCAAGUCCGAUUGCACUAAUUCUAGGUCCAAUGAUCUUAUCUUAUCCAGCACAAACUAUUCGACUAACAAGCCACACCAAAUGCCACCUAGUCACACACGACGCAAUUCAUGCCUCUAACAAGUAACAACUUGAAUAUAACUAGGGAUAGAAGGAGAGCCAAAUAAGAGAACCACCCAACAAGUUCAACAAAUACUACCACAAAGCACAAUGCUACGAACCCAUCUCACAAGGGAAAUCAAAACACACAGAGAAAGCACAAAGAUUAUAUCCCAACAUAACUCCAUUGUAGUGCGUGACCCAAUCUAAACAUACUGAUCCACAUAAGAUGCUCAUCGAGCCAUAAUGCUCACAAUCAACCACCAUAUGUGUACCAACAACAAAUGUGCAAAAUACAUGACCAUAACUAUAGAGAAAUAGAUAGAACAAUAUAUCCUAGAUAGGAAAACCAUAUCCAAGGUGCAAUAAGCAAUUCAACACCCCAAGAGCCUUUUUACUUGAAUUUCGCCACAAGGCCUAAACAGAAUCAUAUCAGGUGCGUGUAAAGCCAAGUAGUCUCACAAUCUAUCAUAGCAUAAGACAGGAACAUACAAAACACACUAGGGCAAAAAUAACAUAUGUUCUCCCCAGUGACAUACCCAUAGUAAAUGUUGCACCAGAGUAAGAAAGCAUCAGAUGUAGAAUACACAUUCUCAUUAGGCCUACCAUAGCCCCCAAAAUCAAGUUUCGAUCAUCCCAAAGUAGGUAAGUAAUCUUCCAAAUAUCCAUUGUAACCUAUCCAUAACACAUGCCAUCUACCGUCUAACACUUAACAUACCUCCACGGUCCCCAACCAAGGAAUAAUCUAGCUCUGAGAUCAUCCAGUCUCUAAACCUCAAGAAUACCGGAAUAUCCAUAUCUGAUCCCAACUCCACCACUCUAUAACUGAAACAUCAAUCAUAAACAAUCAUCUCAUAGAAAAUACUCACAUAAAUCUUCUGCGCCACAUAGCAAAAACCUGAACAUCAACAAUCAACAUCUAGGCGAUUAACGUAAUACUAGUCAAGCAGCCGCAAGUCAAAAACACAAUGCAUCUCCUAACACACACACCCUUCUCGGGCGACAUCAUGUGGUACUAACAUCCUCUAAAUAUCUAAAAUCUCCCAUGUCGUCUAGAACUUAUGACCUUCCUUUACAAACCGAAUCGCAACCUUGCUUAUGAAAUCUCAAUCCCACACGACGCACCACAAAUAUCAAUGCUAACUUGUGAAGAUACAAAAUUUCAUAAUAAACUCUAAAACACAUGUAGGAUAGACAUCCUAUCAACUAAAAACCUUCUACAAACUCGAUCAGGCUAAACAAAAUUACAACACGUAACAAAAUCUCUGUGCAUAUAGAGUUCAUCAACCGCAAGUCGUGACCAAAAUAUUUCUGUUUAUGGCGAAAUCAGAGGGUCUAGUUUCUCGUCAUUAAGGCAUUUCGGGAAAUCAUCUCGAAGACCUUGAGGCUGCGAGGCUGUGGUCGAGCUCCCUCCCUCGAGGUUCGUUAGCGCCCGACGUAACAACAAUGUUGGCCGCGGUCAUGAUGGGAAUGUGGAGUUCCCUAGGCAUGCAACUAGUAUUAGCAGAGCCUGGUGCCAUCUAGUUGUCCCAUCCCCUAUUUUUGUAAUUAAUGCUUUUGUACUAUGUUGGGAUUCCCCUCCUAUAUAAAGGGGUUCCUUGAUAUUUUGUAAACCCCCUGUUGUUCCAGCUACUCCAUAAGAAAUAUAGAAGAACAUUCUCUUUUCUCUCUCAUACACUCUCUUGAUAUUAUUGCUUUCAUUUAUUAUCUUCAUAUUUGUUCAUCAUUUAUUGCUUAUCAUUGGAUAUAAAGAGCCUCCAUUGAUUUUUUUAUAACUGUUAGUCACAUAGCAACUGUAUUCGAUAGCUCGUAAUCGAGCUCCGGAAUCGACCCGAGGCCCAAAAUCGACGAGCUUGAGACCCCAAUUAUUGGCCUAUCAAUUUGAUUAUAGCUUUUUCCUUAAAUUUAUUUCGUCUCUAAAUCUCAUAUACUUAGCAUCAAUUGCUUAACAAACUAGUAUAAAAAUAGAUCACGUAUUUUUAGAGUCUCAUCAACAAAUUUAAUUUACCAUUUUCACGGUAAAUAGUUUGGUGUCCACCGUGGGGCUAAAAAUAAUAGUGAUUAUUUUCUUGCUGGUUUUGUCACUCAACGCAAGUUAUCUUUCAUGCUCUUUCUUGUCCAAGAUCUUUGAUUUCAGGUCAAUAUGUCUAACUCAGUAUAUAGAGGUGAAAACAACAAUCUCGAGGACCACGGGGAGAACGUUGUGGAUGUUCUGGGUGUUGGUGUGCUACCACAAAACCCUGGGAAUGUGCUUGAACCAAUCCCCAUGGACGCGGUCUCGCGCGACGCCCAACACAUCGAUAUAAGCUCGCAUACUGAUAGGAGCGUGCAUCAGGGAGAUCCACAAGAAGCUCAGAAAACCCCGACCAUGGAAGAACGUGAGCUUAGCCUUCAUGUUAUUUUUGAAAUAUUGCAGGCACAACAGCUAGCUAUUUCUCAAAUGUAAAGUCACCAGAAAACUCCCAGCACGGUAGCAUCGGGGACAACACCCCCAGCUGAACAUGUACCAGAGAGAUCAAGCAAUAACGGGUUGAUGACCGAUCCUGCCAUCGUAAAAAUGCUUGAGGACCUCACCGGGAGGAUCGAGUCGGGCGAGAAGAUGAUAGAAGCCAAUGAUAAAAAGGUCAAAACCUACAACUCCAGGGUCGACCAAAUUCCGGGCGCACCCCCGGUCCUGAAAGGUGUGGAUUCGAAGAAGUUCAUAUAAAGGCCGUUCCCCGAGGAAGCGGCCCCAAAACCCUUCCCAAAGAAGUUCAGAAUGACAGAAAUCCCAAAGUACAAUAGGACCUCAGACCCCAACGAACAUGUUACUGCCUACACUUGUGCGGUAAAAGGCAACGACAUAAAGAACUACGAAAUCGAGUCCGUCUUGUUAAAGAAGUUCGGGGAAACACUCUCGAAAGGGGCCAUGAUAUGGUAUCACAACCUAGCUCCCAACUCCAUAGAUUCAUUUGCCAUGCUGGCAGAUUCCUUCAUAAAGGCACAUGCCGGUGCCAUCAAAGUAGCAACGAGGAAAUCUGACGUGUUCAAGAUGAAGCAAAGGGAAAACGAAAUGCUGCGUGAGUUUGUGUCUCUCUUCCAAACGAAACAAAUGGAACUACCGCCGGUCUCGGACGACUAGGCAGUGCAGGCCUUCACUCAAGGCCUGAAUGAACAAAGCUCAGUGGCUUCGAGACAGCUGAAAGAGAAUCUGGUCGAAUACCCCGUCGUGACCUGGUCGGACAUCCAUAACCGAUACCAAUCAAAAAUCAGGGGCGAGGAUGAACAACUGGGAGCCCCCUCGGGCUCAAUAUAUCCAAGUAGGCUCUUGGCGAAGGAGCCAAAGCCAAACAAAGAAAGAUACCAACCAUACACCGAAAAUAGAAGGAACGCUCCGAGGCGCAACCCACGUCGCAAUGAUCGAAGGAUAGACCGAAGACAGAAUCUUCAGGGACUCAUCGAUAGAGCCAGAUUUGAUCGGAACACAUGGCUAAUAGAGGCGCCUCGCUUAUCGAAAUACAACUUCAAUAUGCAAAUUGAAGAUUAGAGAUGCCAGAUGGCCCAGAACUGAACAAUCGGAUCCUUCGCAAAGAAGCUACAAUUUAAUAUGCAAAUUUCACAACACGUAUGGGCAUAGGACUGAAGAUUGCCGGCAACUCUGGGAGGAAGUGGCCUGAUUACUCGACAAUGGCCAUCUUCAGGAAUUCUUUAGCGACCGAGCCAAAAAUCGAUCUCGAGAAAAGGAAACGGCCAAAAGGGACAAGGCAGAUGAGCUGCAACAUGUAAUCCAUGUGAUCUUUUAAGAUGGCCGCCACUCACCGAAGCACCGAAAUCCCCUCCUGCAGAGGGACUAAAAGAUAAAUCGACAAAAAAAUAGCAACCACGAGACCAUCUCCAAGGUUCGAAAGCGCCAUCGCCAUUGAGGUAUAGCCAUCUCCCUUUUCAUUUUAUAUUUCACACUAACCCUCAUGGAGGCACCCGAUCGAAGCAGUCAAAGCACUAACCCAACCCAAAUACCUUAAAGUUUUAAAGCAUCUGUUACACUCUUUUCCUUUGACCGAGUUUUUUUUAUCCUGACAAGGGUUUUUACAGGCAAGGGUUUUAACGAGGCAACAUCCACAUGCUACCUAAGGAAGACUCGACAAGUAUUCCAGGCUUCUUUUGCAAUCAACCCCGAAUACUGGAGGGCAUCCCCCCAUGGUCCCAUUAGUAAAAUGAUGUAUCGGGCCAAACGGUCGAACGAACCGUGCCUAUAUAGUCGGUCCCCUGACAAUGAAACUAUGUAUACUUGUGUCAGGCAAUCAAAGGAUACCUUUUGUCAAAGCAUCUCAUACUCCAAAGGAAACUCAGCAUUUUUUCUAAAACGAUUCCUCCAUCAAAGACGUCUCGAAUACUCAGAGACUAACGUCAAAAAUUUGAUACCCGCAUGACCUCAGGGUCGGAACUCCAAACUCAUAAGCCCUAAAUGAGGCAGCAUGAAAAGCACAAAACAUCUCCAAGGCCAAAAGUGCCCCGAACACUCGGAGACUAGCACCGAUAUCUCCAAAAACGCACGACCUCAGGGUCGGGAUCUCCAAAAUCGUAAGCCCUCGACGAGGCAAUACAAAGUUUGCUAAUAAUGGCUCCCGAGUCAAGAAACCCUCGACGACUCAGGGACUGCUAUUAAGCGCCACCUCCAUCGAUUCAUCAAAACCCGAGGCUGUAAGACCCGAGCGGGCAGACUCGGUCUCUAAGACCUACAUAAGGCAGCAACAAUAACUGUAAGACCUCAACGGCAUGUAAAAAUGUAAGACCUCAACGGCGUGUAAAACUUGUAAGACCUCAAUAAAGGCAUAUACCCGAUCCCAAAGUUUCGGCUAUAUAUCGAACUUGUAAUACCCCUAAAAAGGCAUACCCUCGAUAUAGAUGCCGAAACUACUUCACUCGGGACUCAAAGGCUCUAGCCAAAAACAAGUGACUCCGUUUACACGGCUGUACCAGCCGAACUAAUGCGACUCGGGGACGCCGAUUGUCACUACAAAAUUACAGGCCUUCAAUUACUCCGAAUAUAUUUCGGAAAAAAUCGGUUAACCAGGGUACCCUCGGCAUAAGCAAAAUAGCUUCGACCAUGUUUGCUCCAAAUCACAGGCUCGAGCUACUCAGCCUCCGAGCCAAACCUCCCGAGGUGCUCAAACAUCGUCACAAGUUACCUGAAAUCGAGGUUCUUCCCGAACCGAUGACGGGUCAGGCAAAAUUACUUCAAAAGCCCUUAACGAGAGGAUAAUAAAGCCUACAUAAAUGGUCGCAUCGACCAAGCACGUAAGAGCCAUUUUUGCCAGCCUAAUGAGCCUUAGAGCCACACAUUUAAAUGGUCACUUCGACCCAAGUCGUAAGAGCCACUGUCGCUAGCCUGAAAUCUAAAAAUUUGAGGGUCAAAAUGAGCUCGAGUCGUAACUUGAUUCGGAGACUGGACCCAAAAUAGUUAACCAAAUAUGCCUAAGGGAAAAAGUGUAACAACCAUUGUCGCCAGCCCACAUACACUAAAAGGCCGCAUCGGCCCAAGGCAUAAGAGCCAUUGUCGCUAGCCCACAUACACCAAAAGGUCGCAUCGACCAAAAGCGUAAGAGCCACUCUCGCCAGCCUAAAUCAGCCAUUCGAAGGUCAAAUAAGCUCGAGUCGAUGCCUGACUCGGAGACUAAACCCAAAACGGUUGAACAAAAACAUAAGAGCUCAAACGCCAACUUAUACUAAAGGUCGCAUCGACCAAGCGUGUAAGAUCCCUCGGACUAGCCUAAUGAGCCCCAGGGCCGUAUCAUCAAAUUUAAAGACUCAUACUAACCCAAAGGUCGAAUUGAUCUAGCUAAAAUCUUGGCAAACAGAAACCUAGAAGAUACAAAACCGUGAGGUUUCCCUCUUAUACAUACAUGUAAUGGAAUACAAGCUCCGUUUACAACAUACUGCGAAAGCUAUAUACAUAAGAACGAGAAGUAAGUAAACAUCCUCUUUGGGGACUACAGCCUAAUGGCCCCGUCCUCUCCAUCCUCUCCAUUGGACAAAAGGAACUUGGCAACAUACUCCUCCGCUUGGCUUGCUCAAUCUCCUCCAAAAGACUGAAACCCCUGGCAUGAACUUCCUCGAGAGUUUCCCUCCAAGAUUUGCACUUUGUGUACUCUUUACUGCUGCUUACAUGACCGAGAGUUCUCCUUAGCUCAGCUCUAGCAGUGGCAACACUCUUCAAAUAAGCCGCCGCCCUCUGAUCCGCCCUAGUGCUGCUCAUCACAGCCUUGGCCCGAGCAUUCACCACCUCGACCUUCGCCUUCGAAAGCUCAAACUCGAGCCUUGCGAUCAUGUUUGCCCACACGGAAUCACUCGCACGAGCGGUCCGGAUUUGCAUCUCCAGGGUGGAAACUUUAGCCAAAGCACUCUCCUUGGCCGCAACUUGAGCAUCUACAUGGGCUUGCAGCUCGUCGAACUCACGUUUGACCCUGCCAACUUCGCCCCAGAGUUUCUCCAGCUCCUCCAUUUUGCUCCCCAAUUGAAAUAUUCCGCAAGUGAAAGAAGGAGCAUACGUCAACAUGAAAUACAAGGUACCUGAUUCUCAAGGAAGCUCUCGCGGCUCCAGCUUUGAUCCACCUCACACCGCAGGGAUACCAACUCGCCUUCGUUUUUCACACAAAGAAGCUUAAGGGAUUUCUCCCUAUCCGAAGUUCUCCGCAACCGAGCCUCAUAACAGGGUAGCUCGGAUUUGAGCCUGUCAAAGGGAUACGAAAGAAAAUUUAAUGAGAAAGGAAGGGUGUGAAAUCAGAAUAUUUCUAUGCCGGUUACCAAACUUACCAUAAUGCCAAGCCGCUGAGCCUCACCAAAGGCCGAGCCAAUGACCGAUGGCUUAGUGUCCCCCGAAGCGCCUUUGUCAGAAGAAGAAGGCACCACGUUCCCCUAACUCUUAGGAGCACCAUCAGCAGAAAUGGGGAAUGUUCUAUCGAGAACGGAAGCCUCCGAAACCAAAUGGUCGGUCGAAUUGCCUCUCCUAAACUGCUGAGAGGGAUUUGCCCUGCUUCGAGCCUCCUCGCACCCCGGGGAUCCUUUCCGUUUAUCAUCGACUUUCGACCCCGAGGUCAGCAGUCUCUCCUCCUCCCCUAGAGGGCAUGGCCUCAUCUGAGAGAAAUCUCCAAUAGCUGCGGCGGCUAAGUUAGUACGCUGAAAAGAAAAACACCAUUUUGGGAAAACAAGCCACCAGACGCCUACCAUGAUGCUCUGCCUCCUACCUCCCUUUGGAGAGGUCUCGCCACCUGCGCCUAUCAUAAGUCGAGCAAGCUUCCAGCUUCCGAGACCACUUGGCCAAAUCAGGGACCUCGUUCGGCAACCAGGGAGUCGCUACAAAAGUGAAACGAAAAAAUGUCAUUACGGAGCCCGCCUCUAGUCAAAAUGAUUAAAAAUAAUAGGUGCGGCACUUACAUGUGAAUUUCCAUUUCUCAGGAAAGGGCAUAAACUCUCCAAGAAUGAUAUUGAUCGUACGAGUUCGAACGAACCGGUUCAUCCAUCCACUGUCCUCGCCCUCUUCGUUGUUAACGGCGGGAGACCGGGUGUAUCGGCGCUGUAGAGCAAUCAGACCUCGAUAGCGCAGUGGCCGAUAUAACCUCACGAGAUGACUAAGAGUAAACUCAAUCUCGGUCUUGUCGGCGAAAUAUCUUAUCAUCUGCACUAUCUUCCAAAGGAAUGGGUGAUCCUGCGCCAAGGUAACCCGAUAUCUUCGACAGAACUCAAGCACGACCCGGUCUGGGGGACCCGAUGCAAAAGUGUGCGUGUACACGCUCAAAACCCCCUCAACAUAGGUCAUGAUGCUCUCUUCAGAGGAAGGUACUUGUAAUACCACACCUUCUCCCCAUCCGCAAUCUUUUCUGAUCAUAUCGAGGUUUUCCUCUCCCACUGAUGAGAUGAACCUCGAUGCAUGCUCCCGAUGUCCUGGAACAUUGGGAGGUCUCCCCAACGUAAUAUCUCUUCUCGAGGCAAGGCACCUCGAGGCCCGCUCACCGGGCACCGACCGAAUACGUAGGCAGAACCCCCAUCUCUUUGGUGGGCAGAUGUCGAUGUAUCAGUCAUGGAUAUGAUAGAAUAAGAGGGGGGAGAUAUAAAUUUGAGCAAAGACUUUGAGUUAGAACAACUAGAGAACUAGCACAAAGCGCCAGGUUCUGUGGUCACUCAAAGUAGCAGAAUCUCCAUUUGAGAGGCAAACGAAUGAAAAUAUAGGGUCAAGGUAGCGGCUGCUCGCCUACCUAGAGGGCCAAUUAAUUCUAGUCGCGUUAACGUCACCCUUUUUCUAGGGGAAUGUACUGACAGGAUCUCCCCGGGGUCCCUUUACCAGAUUGCACGAAUGCUGCUAUUCUGCAAAAUUCGAGAAACUAGCAAGGCCUCGAGGGCCCUUCGCUAUCACUAGCACUGUCCCUAAAGAAUCUGUCGAUCUAACUUCGAGACAGGACCCGAUUUAGGGGGCCCGGUCGCUCCGAUAUGGUUUUUGAAGAGCUAACGCCAAAAGUCAAAGUGUUAACUCCGCACGAGCAGCAAGGUAAAAAGAACUAAAAGACAAGAGAGAAGAAAACCCCCUUUUUCACAUUUGCCAAAAAUAUAUUUACAAGGGGCACCUUUACAAGACUCACUCCCCUGGGAACGCAUGCACAAAAAGAAAAAGGGAAAAAAGUAAAAAGCGACGCGAGGCCUACUAUUCAUCGCCACUAUCCCCCGAACCAUCUCUGGGAUCCUCAUCUGGGACGAUCAAAAGUGCCAACUUUCUCUCUAGCUCCCGGGCCUCCUCAAUUCCAAUUGACAGAUCGACGCCUCCGGCCUCGAUCUUCUCCAAGGUUUUCCUUCUCGCCUUCACCCUAGCAUGUUCGGUGGCUCGAGCCAGUUUCUGCUCGGCCUUUAUCGAUACGUCGCCGGCUAUUUGAUGCGCUAUGGCUGCGUCCUUCAAGUAAGUAGCGACAUUUCCUUCAAUCUCGAACUUGGCCACAACCAGAGCAACUAUCUCCUUUCGAGCACCCUUGAGAAGAUCAUGGGUCGAUGCCAACUCCGAGGUUACUACCCCAUUUUGUUCCCUCAGCCCGAGGAUUUCCACAUUCAGUCGCCCAAUCUGCGAGUCAUUUUUCUUGACCUACAAAGGGAAAAGUAAACCAGUCAGUAUCGAAUUAUGGGAGCAAGGGAAAGACUCAUGCAUAACAAAAUAUCUGCUCGACAAGGGCAACGUUUUCUUGGAGUGUUCCCUCCAAAGUAGCCCAGAGCUCGUCUGACUCUUUAUCCUUCCGGACAGAACGAGCCUCCGACUCUCGCUGUCUCGAGGACAACCUCUCAAGCUCCUUCUCACGGUACGAAAGUUCCUCGUUAAGCCUAAAGAUGGCAUGAUCAUACAUGUCCUUGCACCACAGCAAAAGAGAAGAGUUAGAAGAAUGAGGAAAGAUACUCGAGGCUAAAAGAAAUAUACUUAAAGCAGCUAUCACCAGCUGCAUGAACUUCUCGGCUGCCUUGACAGAGCCGGGAACGUCAAUAUAGACGUUCCCGCUAACAUCGUCAAAAUAUUGCCCGACGUGCCUCCCCCUUGAGAGGACCCCCGACUUUGGCGGCGUUUGCAUCUUGAGCAUCCCUUAGCUCCCCUGACGAGAAAUGGGAGCCGAAAAUGAAAUCGCCUAUGUAACCAAUGUCCACGAGGGGCAGUUCUUGCCCCUGAAAAGCUCCGAGCCUAGAUCCUUCGGGAACGGUAGCAAUGGUCCCCCUACCAAAAACUGCACCACGUCCGGAUGGAGGAUCGGGAACCACAUUAGCAUCCUCCUCGAGGGUCUCCACUACACGGGAUCGACUUGAGUCAGCCGUCCCCAAUUCAGCAGCUUCUGGUCAGAGUAUCUGCGGGACUCCCGCGUCCGGCCUCAGCCUUUCCUCUAGGCGGUAUCUGCUCUCAUCAUCAUUUUCGUCCCCAAUACUGAGGCUUGCCUCGGAAGCAGAAGCUGAGGUCCCAAUGGCGGUUCUAGUCCUGUGCGGCUUAAGUUUCUCAUCACAGAAAGGUCGGCAGCCUCCUUGUCUUUCCUUUUAUUACCCUCGGUAGGCUCUGAAACCUCCGUCCCGCCUCCAGGGAGUUGUCUCAGCAGCACAUUCUUGCCAAGGCCUGCACAAGCAUAGCGGCCACAACUUAUCAGCAUAAGAAGGUACAGGAAAAAACAUAGGGUUAAGACGUAGGUGGCAAGAGAAACUUUACCAUGGUUCUUGGCCACCCACAGCAUAUUGUCCAGGUCGGUCCAAGAUCGGGAAAGAUACGGAAAGUUGUUAUCCAAUCGCCCAAUCCACCCUAGCAGAUCCGAGACCACUUUAGGAUACCAAGUGGCAGCUGUAGAGAACAAAAAGAGGUCAUCUUUUUUGGAAGAAAGGAAAGAGGGUCACAAAACAUGUCCGAAGGGAAAACUGCUUAUGCUACAUGUUCCAUCUCUCCGGGAAAGGCAUCCUCCCGGCUGGAAUGAUGUCCGAGGUUUUAUCCUGGACGAACCUACUCAUCCAUCCCCGAUCUUUCUCCUCGUCGGUGCUCGAGAAAACGACUUCUUGGAUCGAUGGCCAAGCCUAAGCCUCGAUAGAACCAGGGGCUGUACAUCCUGAUCAAGUGAUUUAGGGUAAAGGUCUCGUCCCCAACCUGGUCGGUAAAAUAAUAGAGCAUCAAGACUAUCCUCCAAAAAGAGGGAUAGAUUUGACUGAGCAUCACCUGAUAUUUAUCGCAAAAGUCGAGGAUCACCGGAUCUAUUUCUAGGGGAGGGGAUCUAGAAUGAUCGGCCGGACCCAAAGUAAAGGGAUAAGUAUAUACGUGGUGGAAAUAGGCUUUGUAAUCCGUUAUAUUCUCAUCAGGGCCGGGAAUCUCCACCUCCACUGCAUUCCUCCAUCGGCAAUCCCUUUUUACCGUCCCUGCAUCAGUCACGACACUGAUGUACCGGGACACGUGUUCGCAUCAGCCCGUUGUAGCAGGGGGUUUAUCAAUGGUAUAAUCUUUCGACAUGCCAAGAUCAGGGGGGAGUACAUUAUCCCAGGGUGGGUACCACUUUUGUUUUCUCCUUAGAUGACCGAGAUGAAGAGGCGACUUCGUUCCGCCGAGGAACCAUCUUGGAAGUUCUGGCUAUUAUGAUGGUAAAAUCUUCUUUAAGAAAGUAAUAAGGAAGAAUGUAAAAGGAGAUGGGUCUGGAUUUGCGAAUUUGAAGAUGUUGGGAAAAAAAGGAUUAUCGAAAGGUUGAUAUAUUUAUAGGAACCACAUGGGUAGUGGAAGGGACGAGCCAAUAGUGGUUCAUGAGUUUCGCGAUAGUCGCGUUUGACAGCGAACCUUGCAUGGUUUUUGGGCAUGACAUUUAAUGCUUUGAUAGGCUGACGUCAUGGCGGUGAUAUCCUUGGAACGGAGGCUCAAAAUCAUUUCAUAUUACUUCGUUCUAUGAAACGCGGAGACUAUCUAUAUACGGCAAAAUUGGAGGGUCUAGUACUCGUCAUUAAGGCAUUUCGGGAAAUCAUCUCGAAGGCCUCGAGGCUGUGGUCGAUCUCCCUACCUCAAGGUUUGUUAGCACCCGACCUAACAACAAUGUUGGCUGCGGUCAUGAUGGGAAUUGGGAAGUUCCCUAGGCAUGCAGCUAGUACUGGCAGAGCCUGGUGCCAUCUAGUUGUCUCAUCCCCCUAUUUUUGUAAUUAAUGAUUUUGUACUAUGUUGGGAUUUCUCUCCUAUAGAAAGGGGGUCCUUGACAUUUUGUAAACCCCCUGUUGUUCCAGCUACUCCAUAAGAAAUAUAGAAGAACAUUCUCUUUGCUCUCUCAUACACUCUCUUGAUAUUAUUGCUUUCAUUUAUUAUCUUCAUAUUUGUUGAUCAUUUAUUGCUUAUCAUUGGCUAUAAAGAGCCUUCAUUGAUUUUAUUAUAACUGUUAGUCACAUAGCAACUGUCUUCGAUAGCUUGUAAUCGAGCUCCGAAAUCGACCCUGAGGCCCAGAAUCGACGAGCUCGAGACCCCGAUUAUUGGCUUAUCGGUUUGAUUAUAGCUUUCUCCUUAACCCUAUUUCGUCUCUAAAUCUCAUAUACUUAGCAUCAAUUGCUAAACAAACUAGCAUAAAAAUAGAUCACAUAUUUUUAGAGUCUCAUCAAUAAAUUUAAAUAUUAUUACCAUUUUCACGGUAAACAAUUUCAACUCUUUGGAACCCAUUUGCACAUAAUCAAAUCAUUAGAACUGAAUCGCUUUAAAUCAAUCAAGUCGCGUAGAUUGCUAAAAGCAAGAGUACCUCAACAUGAAAAUGUCAGCACUGAAGAACCCUUUAACGAAUCUAAAGAUGUUUCUUUCACCUUUCUAAUACCUCACUGUAGAAUCAAUAAUGAUAUAGAAUAUCGCAAGUCUCGACACCAUCCAAUGUACGCCCCAAGUCCUAACCAUACACAAAUCCUAAAAUCCUUAAAAGCCACAUAUGAGUCUUGAGCCUGUUGGAACCUUCUCGAAAGUCAUUCACCUUUCUCUAUUACCCAAUGCACAACCAAUGUGCACCGAACAACCCACGCUCCGCCAGCACAUGGAUAUCUAAAAUAAGCAACCAAGUGAUUCCUUUUCCUUGCACGUUAUAUCCACAACAAUUAUUAAACCUGAAUCAUCCCAAGAACUCUAUAUUCUUAUAAGGUUAGUAUGUUAUACAUCCAAUUGAUCCCUUGCUCUAUAUCAUCCUUGAUGCAAUCUUUCUCAAAUCAUAGCCAAUCCACAAGCACAUCCUAGUCCAAGAACUAAUAUAACGCAUGAUCAUUUAAUAUGGUCAUUGAUAGUAUACUCCCCCACUUGGCUCAAAGUCAUAGAAUACAUCAUUUGUAACCCACAAUACCCUUUAUUCAUAGCUUCCCCGAUCUCGCACUGUUAAUCAGCCAAAUACUUCAUAAACUCAGGUGAAUCUAGUCAUAAAACACCCAAAGGACUCUGCCAAGUGUAUACUCAUUCUCAUGAUAGUCGCAUGAACUUCCUCAAGCCCUCCAAAAUGGUAGUAUAUGCAUUCCACUGAAUAGAAACCUCAUACGAAUCACAAAACCUCAUAUCCCACUGGCUAGCCUCAAAUCAACAUCUUUCCAUGACCCUACCAUAGUCACAACAACUAGGUAACCAAUAAUCCUCUCGAGUCCAUACUCAUCAAUCAGUUACAGGAAUCUACUGCAUCCCAUAAAUGAUUAACUGAAAGAUCCAGCGUUGCAUCUGCUUUCAAGACCAAACAACAUAACACAAUAAUAAUCAAGCAUCUAUAGCCCUUUGUAGUCCAUGCACAACAUCACAAGUCAUCAGUGCAUCACUCAUACCGAGUGCGCUACAUCACAAAUGAGUGAAUGAAAGAAAAUCAAAGAUACAGGCUUCAAACUGAAACAAGGUCGCACAAUAAAGAGAGAAAGGUGGGAAGUUUCCUAGAUGCCUUGUAGCCUCUUGAAGAUAGGUAUGGAUGUCAUCAUAUUGAUCUGCAAGACUCUACUAGACACUUUCUCAUGACUCGUAGAACCUAUAAAACUAGAGCUCUAAUACCAACUUAGCAUGACCUAAAAUCCCACCAAUAUUGUGAUGGCACCUAAUCUAACCUUCUAUGUAAGUCAAACUGUAUAACUUACUACAAUAAUGAGAAAUCAUCAAUACUAUAAAUAAGACUGCAAAAGAAUUUAAUACAAUUACCCCAAGGACUAGUAGUAGUACAAGUCAUGAGCCACUAUGAUUUAGAUUUAUAAAGCUGGUGAAAUGAAUAAAUACAACAACAUUUUGAAAGUUACAAAAACAAAAUGAAAUCCUAAGCUACCAUGAACAAAAGUGUAGCCUAAAUUUGGUACGCUUGUACAUCUCCAAUGCAAAGUUCUGUCUUCACAGUUACUCGGCUCCAAAUUCUGCAUGCAAAGUACAGAAGUGUAGUAUGAGUACAACCGACCCCAUGUACUUCUUAGUAAGUAUCUUGACUAACCUCAGAGAAAUACUGAUGAGGUUUUUAAGUUGAAAGAUACUCACUUAUCAAAUAACCAGUACAAUAUAUCAAAGACUGGCAACAGAAAGUUUAGCAAAAAACAAUAACUAUAAUCUCAUCAGAACAAGUGAUAACAAUUCAAUGCAAGUGAAGGCUCAACUUUAAAAUAAGUCAUCAAAUAGAAUUGCACACAUAUGGCACCUCAUGCCCACAUUAUCAAUUUCCCUCACACUGCAAAGACCUCGUGCCACAAUAUAAACUGAUUCUGUAUCAAUUGCUAAAUAACACUAUUAAGAGAACUUUUCAAGAAUCGAAUGUAUUAAUGCAUGACGAAUACUUCCUCAUCUCGUCAAUCUGAUAUGCUACCAACAACUCAACAAAAUAUGAGAUAUCAACUCCACGUAGGUAAUCCAUCUUGGACACCAAAUCAUAAGAAAAUCAUAUGCAUAUUCAAGGAUGUCACCCUUGUUGUAACGACCCAGCCAAUCGUUUUGAGAAUUAACUCCCCGAUCCCCUAUUAACUGCUUUUCUCAUGUUUAUUUUCUGCUAUUGUGAGUUGCCGGGAGGAUUCGUUUGGAGUUUCGGAGUGUUUUGGGAUACUUAGUCCCUAAAUGAGAGCUUAAGCUUUAAAAUUUGGGAUGUAGGCGGAAUAGUGUGGAGACGGACUCAGAAUGGAAUUCCGUCAAUUCCGUUAGCUCCGUUGAGUGAUUUCAGGCUUAGGGGCAUGUUUGGAUUGUAUUUUGGAGGUCCGUAGCUUAUUUAGGCUUGAAAUGCCGAAAGUUGAAUUUUUGAAGUUUCCAGAUCGAUAGUGAAAUUUUGAUAUCGGGGUUGGAAUCCAAUUCCGAAAGUUGGAAUAGAUCCGUAGUGUUUAAUGUGACUUGUGUGCAAAAUUUGGGGUCAAUCGGAUAUGGUUUGUUUAGUUUCGGCAUCGGUUGUAGAAUUCUUGAGAUUUCACGUUUAUUAGGCUUGGAAUGGAGGGUGAAUCGUGAUUUUAGCGUUGUUUGAUGUGAUACGGUGGUUGGAUUAAGUUUUCAUGAUGUUUAGGAUUGGUUGACAUGUUUGGUUGAGGUCCCGGGGGCCUCGGGUGAGUUUCGGAUGCUUAACGGAGGUGAAUUUGGACUUAGGCAAAUUCUGAAGUUUGUUGCUUUUGGUAUGUUCGCACCUGCACUGAGGAGCUCGCAGGUGCGGCCCGUAGAAGCGAGGAAAGAGGUUGUAGGUGUGGUUUGGGGUGCGAAGGCCAGUGGCCACAGAUACGGCUCAAGGACCGCAGAAGCUGACCGCAUCUGCGGAGAAGGGAGCGCAGGUGCGAUGCCUAGGGAGUUAAUGAAAUUCUGCAAAUGCAGAGCCCAAGCCGCAGGUGCGGUCCCAGAUGCGGAAAUUGCUGGGCAAAUAUAGAAAAUUCGAGGGUUUGAAAUUUCAUAACACAAAAAUCAAAUUGGAGCUCGGUGGGAGACGAUAUUUCGAGGGGUUUUGAAGGAGAAUCAUUGGGUAAUGAAUUCUAACUCGAUUUUGAUCACAAUACUAUAAUCUAUUGUUGUUUUUCUCUUCUUAUUAAGGAAAUUAAGGGUAAAAGUUUGAAAAUGGGAGAAAAGUUCCCCAAUUUAAAAUCUGAGUUUUGAGUGAGAUUUUGGCGUUGGAUUUUGGUGAUUUUUGUUCGAGUGUGCUCGUGAGUGAAUGAGUGUUCAUAAUCCGUAAAUUUUACCCUAUUCUGAGACGCGGGCCCAGGGAGGAUUUUUGGGCAUUUUUAUAUUUUUUUUACCUUAGCUUCGAUUUCUUUAGCUAAAUUCGUUGUUUGUAGUUAUAUUUACAUUAUGAAAUUUAUUUGAUUAGAUUUGGGCCACUCAGAGUUGGAUACUCGUGGCAACAACGUGAUUUUGGAUUGAUUUUGAGCUGGUUCGAGGUAAGUGGUUUGUCUAACCUUGUGGGGGGGGGGGGGAACUCCCCUUAGGAUUUUGGUACUGUUGUUAUAUGAGUGCCGUGUAUGUUAUGUGAAGAGUGCAUACACGUGCUUAUUGUCGAAAAACCCUGUUUUCAUUAAGUAAAUAUCUGUGUUUCCUUUUUGUUGAACACUACUUGUAUUUAAUGCCUACUGUUUAGCUUAGGAAAGCAUGCUUAAGUGACUUAACUAUUCUAUCUGCUUAAACUGUUUACUUGAAAUUCUGUGCAGCAUGUUUAGAAUAGAAAUCUCUAUUUUCUUGGUACGAACUUUGAUAGAACUGUAGAUUAUAUCUUGAGAUUGUUGUAUUUUUUUUACUUUGGGAGUACGGGACGAUAUCUCGGGAGACCCCCCUGCAUAUUUACUUUGGGACUAUGGAUCGGUAUUCCGGGAGAUUUCCCUGCACAUUUAUAAUUGGGACUACGGGAAGAGAUCCCCCUGUACUGGAUAUUUACUUUGGGACUACGGAUUGGUAUUUCAGGAGAUUCCCCUGCAUAUUUAUGAUUCGAGCUAUGGGACGAUAUCCCGGGAGAUCCUCUGCACAUUUAUGUUUGGACUACAGGACGAUAUCCUGGGAGAUCCCCUGUUACUAUCUUUGUGUACUGAGUUAUAUCCUUCUGUGAUUUUAUUCUUUAUCAACUGUUAGUAUUUUAAUUAUACUGUCGCAUUUCAUGCUGUUUUACCUUGUUUUGUAUACAUAUAACCAGUAGGGUCCUGACCUUCCUCGUCACUACUCGACCGGGGUUAGGCUUGACACUUAUUGGGUACCACUGUAGUGUACUCAUGCCCUUUCCUGCACAUGUUUUUCGUGUGAAGAUCCAGGUUCUUCUGCUCAGCCAUUCUAUUAGUGAGGCGGGCGAUAUCAGAGACUUCGAGGUAUAUCUUCCGGGUCCGCAGACCUAGAAGUCCCUCCCUAUUCUUCCCUUUAGCUUUAGACUUCCUGUAUUUACUUUUUAUUAGACAUUAUGGAGUUAGAACACUGUGUAGUUUUCUAUAGCUUAUGAUUUCAUAAGAUUUCGAAUUUUGGAAGUUUUGAUUCAGUUUUGAGAGUGUGUAUUGUAUAUGCCGAGCGACAUUUUAAACUCUUUUAUUAUGUUUUACCUGCAACUUGCCAGUUUCGUAUUUCAUUUCCUUUUUUCGCAAUUUGUUAGGCUUACCUAGUCAUAGAGACUAGGUGCCGUCAUGACAGUUCACGGAGGGAGAACUUGGGUCGUGACACUUGUACCACCAUAUAAACAUACAUAAUGAAAAUCGCCCCAGGCUACCACAUAACAUCCCAACUAUGCCACCCUUAUUUUGCUGCAUGCGCAUCACAAUGAAAUGCCUUUCGUAUUACGCCGCAUGUGCAUAAGCCAAUCUUAUCUCGCCGCAUGUGCAUCACAAUGAAAUGCCUCCCUUAUGUCAUCGCAUGCACAUCUCGCCACCCUUAUACUCCAAACAACAUCAGUCAACCCACACCACAUGCCUAGAUGUGCCAUAAUUAUCACAACAAUGCAAGAUAAUAAUUUAUCAUUAAGAGGCAUAUCCUUUUAACCCAUCAAAAAAGCGCACAAGUAUAUGAUAACAAUAAAAAUGUGGAUAAAGCAUGACUAUGGCCAAAUUAAUUAUAGCAACCACGUUCAACUAGUCAUACAAAGAAUCACAUACAUAUCAUAGAGUGCAUACGUCCCAAUCAAGGCACAUUACAAGAACAGGUCUGGAUGUGUGUUCAUAACCUACGUGCAUCUAUCUCCUAGGAAAUAUAGUAUAAGCCUCCGAAAUUUCUCAUCAUGUUCAAUAUAAGGUACCAAUAGCCUCAAUAUUCCUCUAGCAUGGUUUAUUGUACUCACUUAGUCUAUUAAUAAAAUAAUACAUGAAAUCAGGUAAAGCACACAACCAAUAAAACAGAGUAAGCUAGAAUUUGCCCUGAUCAUGAUACCUAUGGCACAUAUAUAUAUGCUCGUCACCUCAUAUAUACAUCACCCCCGCAUGUAGCAAAUAAUUUCAAUUAGUAGGAAAAAUUUCCUCAACAAAAGCUAGGUUAGACACUUACCUCAAACAAGCAAAAAUAAUACUCUCAAAAUGCUUUCCCACACGAAUCGACAUGUGAGCGGCUCGAAUCUAGCCAAAAACAACUCAAUAAUGUCAAAUAAUGCUGUAGGAAUCAAGCCCAAACGAUAAAGAUCAAAUUUUUAAUUAAAUACACAAAUUCAACCAAAAAGUUACUUGAGCCCGCACCCCGAAACCCAAUAAACUUUCAAAUCAUGAGCACCCAUUCAAAUACGAGUCAAAAUAUAAAAGUUUCAUCCAAAAUCAACUCCAAAUUGGGGUUCAAAUCUCCAUUUUACACUUUAGACAAGUUUUGUCAAACCCCCCCAAUAUUUCUUGACUUUAAUUCAUGAAUCAAAUGCAAAACCAAGGAUUUAAUAAUGAAUAAUACUCAAAUCCUUGUCGAGAAUAAUUACCCCAAUCCAAGAGGUGAAAAUCCCCUAAAAAUCAUCCAAAUCCGAGCCCCCAAUCUCAAAAUGUGAUAAAAUGAGCUCAAAUUCUAAAAAUGACAACUUAUAUGCAUCGCCUAGUUAUACACAUCACAAUCGCGGAAUAACCUUACCCAUCGCAAAGAACAAAGCGACAAUGCCUAGAAGAAUGCACACCAAGCAAUCGUGUCUAAGCCUAGCGAUCAUGAAAGCAAAUGACCUACAGAAGCGCGAACACGAGCCCCUCUAGCGAAUGAGCCAAUUGUCUCCAGCAACACUCCGCAAUCGUGAAGUGACGAGUGUGAAAAUGUUAGCCAACUCCACCACCUUACACGAACGCAGGACCUCAUCAUGAAAGUGAUACACAAUUUUCCAGAUGCCCAACAACAUUCUAUGCAAUCGCGUAGCUACACCUGUGAUAGUGUAACACAUCAGAUGCACCAGAAAUCAGCACUGCCCAACACCUCUAAAAUGGUUUGAAACCGCCCCGAAUCACACCUAAUGCUCCCGGGACUCCAUCCAAACAUUCUAACAAGUCAAAAUGUAUUAUCCAAACUUAUCCAAAAUCUCGAAACAACGUAAUUACAUCAAAACCAAGAAUUGAAGAUCAAGAUCAUUCUCUUAGCUUCCAAACCUUCAAACUUCGCCGAACGCGUCUAAAUCCUACCAAAUCAACUCUGAAUGAAACCAAACUUUGCACAUAAGUUCCAAAUGACAAAGUAAAAAUAUUCCAACUUUUAGAAAAAUAAUCCGAACCUGAUAUCAUCAAAAUCAACUCCCGGUCAAACCUAUGAACUUCUAAACCUUUUAAUUGCCAACGUUUUCUAAAUAGAGCGAAAUCAACCUAGGAACCUCCAAAUCGCAAUACGAACAUAUGCCUAAGUGAGAAAUUUCCAUACGAACCUAUUGGAAUCAUCAAAAUAUAAAUCUGAGAUAGUUUACAUAAAAAGUCAAACCUUGAUCAACUAUUCAACUUAAAGCUUUUGAAUAGAGAAUUACUCUUUCGAAUCACUCCCGAACUUCUCAAAAAAUUGAAACCAACCAUGCAUGUAAGUCCAGAUGCAUCAAAUGGAGCCACUCAAAGUUUCGAACCACCAAAAGAAAUGCCAAUGCUCAAACGAAUGGUUGAGUCAUUACAUAUUAUCUUUCAAAUGGUGGGACAUAUACGCUAGAAGCUAGUAAGCAAGAGCCAGUGUCAAGGGAUGCAACCACUACUUGAGGUAGAGGUUGGGGUAGAGUACGGGAUGGAGCCCAGGAGAGGACUCGUACUAUUGCUCCCAUUAGAGGUUGAGCACUCGCAGUGCUUGUGGUCAUGAUAAAGCUACUUCAGUUUAACCACCUGCAUCUCUAAAGGUGGAGCAUGCUCCAGUUCAAGGUGAGAAUCUAGGUCCAACACAGGUUCAUAUGAGUCUUAUUGCUACCCUUGUGCUUCAGGAGACUUUGGUUUGUAUUAUAGGGUUCUUUGAGAGCAUGGCUCAGACAAGAGCAAAAAAAAUAAGUCAAACCAUAAUGAAGUUGUGGUGAGGUUUUGACAAAAAGAUACUCACUUUCUAUAAUGUGUUCAGUCCAUAAGCAUGUACAAGAAAUAGAGAAACGAUCAAGAAAUAACAUAUAUACAUAAUAAGGUCUAAAUCAAGAAGAUGACAAUUCAGAUAAAAUGAUGAAAGGUAUAAGCAAGACAUCAACUCUGCAUACAAAGGUAACAUGCAAUAGCUAGGAUUGAUAUGAAUGCUUUUACAUGAGUCUAGAAUAUUCGUGCAUGAUAAAGACUCUCACUUUAUCUCAACGGACACCUCUCCGGUGUCCAAUAUCACUACACACACAUGCCCCAAUGUAGCAUGGCAAAUCAUGUGACUUCGAAGUGAUGGAACCGGAUCCAUGCGCCACAUUAAUACCAAUAUCUUAGAAAUCAAUCAUCAAUCCAAGUAGAAUGUUCCUUUGUGCAAUAAUCAAAAUAGCCGCACAAAAUGUCCCAUCAUGCUAACGUCAGUCCAUAUUAGAGAAUCAUGUGCAGGGAUGUAUGCAUAUGAAUAAGAGAUAAGCAUAUAAGAUGCAUAUAGACAAGGUGUAUGCAUGUAUACAAGUAUGCCUACAACUACAACAUGUAAUCCUACAUACGAAAUACCCAUCCUUUCCAAAUAAGCAAUGAAAAGCCUAAACAUGAUCUAUAACCAUAAAUAUUAUUGCUCAAAUAGUUAUACAAACAAAUAAUCAUAAAAAACAAGAAUAACAUGUCACAUACAAGGCAUAAAAAAGCCUAAAAUUAACCCAUAACAUGGUAUUACCUCGAUACCUGUAUAUACGCUCCUUACCUCGCAUAUAAGUCACCCUCAAACAUGUAGUAUUUAGCAUAUUAGUCUAAGAAAAGUUCUCUCAAAUCGAGAUUAGUCAAGAUACUUACCUUCUCCAAAGUAGGCUUCAACCUUCCAAAUGAUAAAGUUUCGAUCUUUAACAAAAUCUCAAAAGUUAACAAAAAGUCAACCCGGGCCACUUGGUUCGGACUCGAAACCAUGACAAAAUUCCGAUGACCCAUAACCUCCUAAGACUAAAUAUGUAAUUCAUUACCAAAUCUGAAUCCAAAUUGAGGCUUAAAACCACAAAAUACACUUUCUUAAGUUUUAAACAAAAACCCUAAUUUUUAUUUUUUAGAUUCAUAUCUUAGAUGUAUUAAUCAAGGGGUGUUAAAGAUCUAUGAUCAAUCCAAGUUAAAGUAACUUAUCCUCAAGAUUUGGGUUAAAUCUCUCUCCAAAAUCACCUAAUCCCGUUCUUCAAAAAUCAAAAUGGUGAAAUGAGAAAAAACCCCCAAAAUCUACACAUAAAAUACCCCUGGGCCAAAUAUUCGCAUCGUGAUCGCACCCUAAGGCCCAUGAAGAGCAACCUGGAAGACCCUCCGUGACGUAAUCAAAGACCACGCAACUGUGAAGGUUAGCUGGUUGGUCUUCAUUGCGAACAUUGCUGAUCACAUGUAACCACAAAGUGUAAAGCCCCAGCCCUACCUCCUCCACGCUAUUGCAGUACCAAGCCUCGCAAUCACGAUUCAUUAUUCAACAGUAGAAAAUGUGGUUGCUGCAACUUGGUUCAAAAUGCUCUAAAACAAUAUGAAACUAAUCUGAGCUCCUCGGUACCCUUCCAAACAUCUCAACAAGUCUAUAUACCUUAUACAAACUUGUCCAAAGGCUCAAAACACGUACCGAAGCAUCACAACUACAAAUCAAUGAUCAAACCAAAUUAUGAAUUCUCUUAAGUUCAUAAAGAUCCAACUUUCACAAGAUAUGCCAGAAUCUCGCCUGAGCCCCUCGGGUGCUAAGUCAAACAUACAUACAAGUCCAAAAUCAUCAUACGGACCUAUCGGAACUUUCCUAGCCCCAAUAGCAGCUUGUUAAGCCAACAUGUUGACUUGGUCAACUCUCUUAACUUAAAGCCUUUAGUUGGGAACUAAGUGUUCCAAAUCACUCCCAAACCUCUCGGGACCUGAACCACUUGUACCUGCAAGUCAUAAAACACCAAAUGAACCUACAUAAGUCUCACAUAGAGGAAUAAGAUCUUAUAACUCAAAAUGGCUGAUUGGGUCAUUAUAGUCUUAUCGAGUACUAGCUACUCAACCAACAACCACCAAAAAUUUCAUAUCAAUCUUCAAAUGGCAUGGUUUAUGCACCAUACAAGAAAUUGCCCAAUUAUGUCAAAUUUUUAGAAAAGCAUCUGACCACUCUAGUGACUCCCCAAAUCCAUGGUCUUCCUUCAAACAAGUUUUUAAGCAUCUGUAUAUCUUGCUCCAACUGUUCAUGUAGCGGAUAAGCAAACCCACUGAAGAAAGUUCGUGUACCCAAAAGCACUCCGCACAUUGAUGUGCCAUGAAAUUACGGUUUGAUAUCAUUUACAUAAACAUGUACUAUUGUUUAAGACUAUUUGUGUUGUUUCUUAUGUUUAUUAUCGUGUUGUAGGGAUUUUGAGGCUAAAUGGUAAAUACAAGCAAAAAGUCACGAAGUGUCCUAGAUUCGAUAACACACGAAUCAUAUCUUAAAGAUACCGACUGCAAGUGAAAUGCAUAUGGAAGCUUAGAAGAAGGCAACUGAAGGACUAACAUACAAAACAACAUGCACACUGCAUUUUUCACAUGCGCGGUCGUACAUCCAUCAUCUAUUGAGAGCCCAAUAGUCUUGAAUGCUUGUGAACAUCAAACUCAACACAUGCUGGGAUGAUGUAUUUUAUGCAUGCAUGUUUAAAUAGACAAAUUGGUAGAUCUCCUCGGUAGGUGUUGUUAGAGUUCAGGUUGAUCGGUAAGCUCCACGUCAUUCAGAGUUGUCGGGUCUAUGAUUUUGAGUACAUAUUUUGUAUAUAUAUAUAUAUAUAUAUAUAUAUAUAUAUAUAUAUAUAUAUAUAUAUAUAUAUAUAUAUAUAUAUAUAAAGAGACAGAGAGAGAGAGAGAGAUAAUAUGUAUAGGUCCUAUUUCGACCAUAGUACAACCAUCAGUAGAAUAUGUAUAGGUCCUAUUUCGACCAUAGUACAACCNNNNNNNNNNNNNNNNNNNNNNNNNNNNNNNNNNNNNNNNNNNNNNNNNNNNNNNNNNNNNNNNNNNNNNNNNNNNNNNNNNNNNNNNNNNNNNNNNNNNNNNNNNNNNNNNNNNNNNNNNNNNNNNNNNNNNNNNNNNNNNNNNNNNNNNNNNNNNNNNNNNNNNNNNNNNNNNNNNNNNNNNNNNNNNNNNNNNNNNNNNNNNNNNNNNNNNNNNNNNNNNNNNNNNNNNNNNNNNNNNNNNNNNNNNNNNNNNNNNNNNNNNNNNNNNNNNNNNNNNNNNNNNNNNNNNNNNNNNNNNNNNNNNNNNNNNNNNNNNNNNNNNNNNNNNNNNNNNNNNNNNNNNNNNNNNNNNNNNNNNNNNNNNNNNNNNNNNNNNNNNNNNNNNNNNNNNNNNNNNNNNNNNNNNNNNNNNNNNNNNNNNNNNNNNNNNNNNNNNNNNNNNNNNNNNNNNNNNNNNNNNNNNNNNNNNNNNNNNNNNNNNNNNNNNNNNNNNNNNNNNNNNNNNNNNNNNNNNNNNNNNNNNNNNNNNNNNNNNNNNNNNNNNNNNNNNNNNNNNNNNNNNNNNNNNNNNNNNNNNNNNNNNNNNNNNNNNNNNNNNNNNNNNNNNNNNNNNNNNNNNNNNNNNNNNNNNNNNNNNNNNNNNNNNNNNNNNNNNNNNNNNNNNNNNNNNNNNNNNNNNNNNNNNNNNNNNNNNNNNNNNNNNNNNNNNNNNNNNNNNNNNNNNNNNNNNNNNNNNNNNNNNNNNNNNNNNNNNNNNNNNNNNNNNNNNNNNNNNNNNNNNNNNNNNNNNNNNNNNNNNNNNNNNNNNNNNNNNNNNNNNNNNNNNNNNNNNNNNNNNNNNNNNNNNNNNNNNNNNNNNNNNNNNNNNNNNNNNNNNNNNNNNNNNNNNNNNNNNNNNNNNNNNNNNNNNNNNNNNNNNNNNNNNNNNNNNNNNNNNNNNNNNNNNNNNNNNNNNNNNNNNNNNNNNNNNNNNNNNNNNNNNNNNNNNNNNGAUGGAAAAGACAAGGGGAAACAUGCCUUGAGACAACAAAAGAGUAUAAGACAUAAAGUUAUAUCCUCAUUUCGAGAAAUGAAUUGGUGACUCCAACGUGAUUAGCAGAAGGCUAAGUUAGACCCCCAUGAGUAAUAGAAAUUAGUAUGGGCUAGUAAAGAUAAAACCGAACAUGAAUUAGGGAUCAGAGGAUUUGAUAAUAGUCGACAUCGUGAUAAUUUUAGAGAUCAUGUUCCGGUAAUAAUAGAAUGGACAACAGAAGAAUAACAUUUAAAGGUCAUACAGGAAAACGCUUCCCUAAAGCAAGCACUAUGAGCGAAGUUAAGCUUAAGGGACUAAGUGUGCCAGUUACACUAGGUGUCACCCUCGUGCAUAUGAAAUUCAGUUAUCCCUAGUACAGAAGGGUUAUCGGAAGACGAGUAAGGGUCAUUGAAGAUGUGAAAAGACGCCAAAGAUGAAGAGGUAAAACAUCUAUAGGUAAAUAUUCAUAGCAUUAAUAUUAGUACUCUCCUAAUAGGGGAAGAUGGUGUAAUAUGCUAUUAAGUCGGAUUUAAGUGGUUCAAGUAACUAUAGAAUAGUAAUGGAAGAAUGCGGUAAAAAGAAAAAAAGGAUGAGAUUUUAUUUUUUCAGAUCCUACAGAUAUGUUACGACUCAAAAACAUUAUGCAAGCAUGAUGCUGGGGAGAGACAGUAAGGGUUCCCAGCCAAGAUUUUAUGGAUAAAUAAGUGCGAAUGGACACUUGAUACAUAAGAAGCCAGUGCAAGAGGUAAGUUAAGACAAAGUACAUAACCUAAAAGAGAUUACGCGGAAUAUAGAUUUGAGAAUAGACCAAGGAGUAGUUAGUAGUUGAUUCAGGAAGAGCCUACUUAUGGCUAGAAUAGAGGUCACAGAUAAAUUAGCAGAUCGUGCAAGAUAAACGUAGUGAACCCUGGCAUAGGGAAUUCAGUCUCGCAGAUACGGGAUCGUAGAGCAAUAUUCAUAGAGGAGUUGGGGAAGAUAAAGGUACCGUAUAAGUGUUACGAAAAUAAAAGAGAGUGCCACUGGGGUGACAAUUGAAAUUUCAGUUCAGAAGUAACCCUACGAGCACAAGGACACAGAUGUAAGUAACUAAGGAUAAAUAUAGGCGAGUAAGAACAUCAAAAAUUCCAUCGAGUAUACCAUGUAAUAAGUUCGCAACGUUACAAGAGUUAGAGGGUCUCCCCUAAGUACUACAAUAAAAGACUAGCAGAGGAAAUAAGAGAGAAGGCUUCAACCUAAGAAUAGUAACCUAAAGAUGAAAUUAUCUUGUAGCAACAGUCUCACUACAACAUUGUAUAUACUCCAUAAGAAAGUGGCACCUAUUAUGACUAGUAAAUGGGAAGUAAAAUCAAAACUAAUAUUCAAGAUCAUAUGAGUUGCACGAAAUUCCAACAUGCACGAGCACUAAGAUAAGCCACGUAUCCAUGCAACAAGUGGCAAAAUGAUCAGGAAAAGUAAUUGCUUACGUUUAAAGACAACUGAGAAGAAACGAAAGGAAUUAUUCAAUCUAUGAUCCGGAGGUAUUUAUGUUAUGACCACACUUAAGAUUUUAGAGUAUUAUCCAUGCAGCUUAUACGUUGACAUUAUUACAUUUAUAGGAGACUCCGGUAUAAGUUAAAAGAAAGAAUUGAGUCCACGUCACAGACAGAGUCUUGAAUUGUUAGAAGAUUAUAAUAUGGAUGUUCUAUAUCAUCCACGAAAGGCUAAAGUAAUAACUAAUACCCUGAGACGCGGAUCAGAAGACAACUCUAGACUACUUAAAGGUCGAGAGAGUAGAGGAAGCUCGAGAGUUACAAUAGCUAAGUAAAUUAGGAGUCCAAUUAUCAGACCUAGAUAACUAUAGAAAUCGUGACUUAAAACAUUGUAGAAUCACUCUUAAUAGUAGAGGCACAAGAGAGAUAGUAUGACGGCCAUAUUAUAUAACAGUUCUACGAUAAAGCCAGUUAAAAGAGUACUAGCCUUAAAGAUAAUAAAAUAUGGAGUGGAGAUGACAGGAUAAAUAAUGCCCCCACUAUUGUAGGACUCCGAGAUAUUACCAGGGUAAGGGAGCAUCAUUUUUACCAUUCAAGUAAAGAACACAAACGAUAGUAGCAUUGUAAUCUAGAAUACUAUAGAAAUGAGAAGAAAUGGUCUGAGACGAGUGACAUCACGUGGUCGGUACUUCAAAAAUGAUCAUGGCCUAUAAAGUAUAACAUGGAUGAAUGAAUCUCUAGAUCGACCGUUCAGUUCAAUAGUGUUUGUUAGGACAAGCCAUGCAAAAAAAAGAAAUGUUCUAGCUUUUAUAGAAGUACCAUAAUUUUACAGACCAAGAAUGUGAAUGAGUUAAGAUAACAAGUCAAGUAUAAACUUUUAUGAGACUAGGAUACGCUAGGAGACUAGAAUACGAGGUUGAGAAGUUGAAGACGAUCAUAAGUCACUCACCCCUCAAGUGGGGCAGAAAUAUGUGUAUAUCUCUUUACAAGGUUUGAUAGAAGGUUUGAAUAGCAAUGUUACAAGUACCAAGCUGAUAACUAAGUUUAUGAAAAGUAAAGAGAGAACUAUGAGAGCCAAGGUGAUGAUUGUAUUUGGUUCUAAGAGCAUUAGAAUAAAAAGUAUAUGAUGGCCAAGGUCGUAGAAUAAGAAUUCCUAAAAUAUGAACAUAUGAAAAGCCAUAGACAACUGGGUAUUCCUAAAUAUGUUGCCUACAAAAUACGUCACGAGAUCUGGUAAGAAGGGCAAGAAUAAUCAUAGAUAUAUGGGGCCUUACAGAGUCAUUCGACGGAUAGACAAAGUAGCUUAUGAGCUUAAUUUCCUCCAGAGUUAGAGUCGGUCCAUUAUCCAUGCUACAAAACUGCAUUGGAGACCCUUCUCUAGUUUUCCCAGUAGAUGACGUUCAGAUUAGAGGAUCUAUCCAACGAGGAGAUUCCAGUGGCUAUCUUAGAUCGACAGAUCUUUAGGUUAAGGACAAAAAGGUACCCUCCGUGAAGGUUUUAUGGAGAAGAAAGAAUGUGGAAGAGAUGAUGUGAAUAGAAGGAAGAAAUAAAGUCUAAUUAACCCCACCUAUUUCAAACAAAAGAUAUGGCUCGAAAUGAGAUAUUCAAACCAUUACAUCAUGAGGUGAGCUCUUAUUUUGACGUAGAAUACUUAUGAUUGAUGACCAUGUGAGGUCAAGUAUUGCUAUUUAUAGACAUUGGCCCUAUGUUGCAUGUAUUGUAUGUUUUUUGUGUAACAAACCGAAAUAUAUUUAUAUACUAAUUAAUCUUGAGAUUUAGAGAAUUAAUUUUAUUUAUAAUUAUUAAGUCAAAUACUAAGAUAGUCGAAUAAAUUUAUUAGAAUAUAUAAGAUUGUGUACUAAAUAAUUACUAACGGGCCACAUUUUAUACUAUAUGUAAUUGUUGGUAAAUUAUUAACUUGAUUGGGGUGUUUAAAGAAAAGGAAUGGGCCAGGCUUAUUCUCCUUUACUGCGAGGUUGCAAGUCACGUGUGGGGAGUAAAUAAGUGAAGCUAAUUUCUUAAUUAUAACUUCUAAGAUAGAAACAAAACCUAGAAUAGCAUGUAGGUGUUAGCAUUGUGAUGAAAGAGACGACUAUCGGGUCUGAUAAAGCUAUUGACUAUGUGAAAUUUUGGAGAAGCAAUCCAAGUAAUCGGAUUAAGGCGAUUGGAGGCUGUUUGGUUGGUAUUUUGGACGUUGCAAGGUUGAGGAACUUCCUGUUAGCGAGGUAAGUGAGACUUUAAGCUUUGAUACUUGCUUUUCUAAAAACAGGUUUGAAAAAUAUAUUUUCUCUGCCUAGUCCAUGUGCUGGGACAAACGUGCGCUUUACAUAAUCGGUGGUCUUAUACUAGCCACAAAUAUAUCAUUUUAUGAAAAAUACAAAAAAAAAA
Molecule: long non-coding RNA, 48472 nt
Filed under: Nicotiana tabacum (common tobacco)
Lineage: Eukaryota; Viridiplantae; Streptophyta; Magnoliopsida; Solanales; Solanaceae
Description: long non-coding RNA (NTAB_LNC012017)
Source: RNAcentral